UUCAUGCACCUUUGGUAUGUUGCACCCUCAUUCCUCAAACCGAAUGGCAUAGUAAUGUAGCAGUACAUGCCAAAGGGUGUGAUGGAAGAAGUCGCGAGCUGGUCGGACUCUUUCAUCCUGAUUUGGUGAUACCCUGAGUAGGCAUCGAGGAAAGACAGGGUUUCGCACCCAGCAGUGGAAUCCACGAUUUGAUCAAUGCGAGGCAAAGGGUAGGGAACCUUCGGAGAUGCUUUGUUUAGACCAGUGUAGUCUACACACAUCCGCCAUUUCCCUCCUUUCUUUCUCACAAGCACAGGGUUGGCAAGCCAUUCGGGAUGGAAUACCUCUUUGAUGAACCCUGCAACCAUUAGCUUAUGGAUCUCCUCGCCUAUGGCUCUGCGCUUUUCUUCGUCGAAUCGGCGCAGAGGCUGCUUCACGGGUCGGGCUCCAGCUCGGAUAUCCAGCGAGUGCUCGGCGACAUCCCUCGGUAUGCCAGGCAUGUCCGAGGGGCUCCACGCAAAAACUUCGGCGUUUGCGCGGAGAAAGUCGACGAGCACUGCUUCCUAUUUGGGGUCGAGCUCGGAGCCGAUCCGGAUCUACUUGGAGGCGUCGUUGCUGGGGUCGAGAGGGACGGACUUAACCGUCUCAGCUGGCUCGAAGUUGCCGGCGUGGUGCUUCGCAUCUGGCGCCUCCUUGGAGAGGCUCUCCAGGUCGGCGAUGAGGGCCUAGGAUUCGGCGAGGGCCUCGACGUACUCCACGCACUCCACGUCGCAUUCGUACGCGUGUCGGUACGUGGAGCCGACGGUGAUGACCCCGUUGGAGCCUGACAUCUUGAGCUUGAGGUAGGUGUAGUUGGGGACAGCCAUGAACUUGGCGUACCAUGGCCUCCCCGGCACUGCGUGGUAGGUUCCUCGGAACCCGACCACCUCGAACGUGAGGGUUUCCUUUCGGAAGUUGGAGGGAGUCCCGAAGCAUACGGGCAGAUCGAGUUGCCCGAGGGGUUGGACGAGGGGAUGAUCCCGUGAAAAGGCGCCGCGCCGGCCCUGAUUGAGGACAGAUCGAUCUGCAGGAGCCCGAGGGUCUCGGCGUAGAUGAUGUUGAGGUUGCUGCCUCCAUCCAUGAGGACCUUGGCGAGCCUGACGUUGCCGAUGACGGGAUCGACAACGAGCGGGUACUUUCCUGGGCUCGGCACGCGGUCGGGGUGGUCACCCUGGUCGAAGGUGAUGGGCUUGUCCGACCAGUCUAGGUAGACUAGCGCCGCCACCUUUACCGAGCAGACCUCCCGGCGCUCUUGCUUGCGGUGCCGAGCCGAGGCGUUCGCCACAUGCCCACCGUAGAUCAUGAAGCAGUCGUGGACCUCGGGGAACUCCUCUGCCUUGUGAUCCUCCUUCUUAUCGUUGUUGUGGGCUCGGCCACAUUCCGCCGGUGGCCCGACCCUGUGGAAGUAGCGCCGAAGCAUGACGCACUCCUCAAGGGUGUGCUUGACGGGACCCUGAUGAUAGGGGCACGACUCCUUGAGCAUCUUGUCGAACAGGUUGGCGCCUCCGGGAGGCUUCCGAGGGUUCCUGUGCUCGGCGGCGGCGAUAAGGUCUGCGUCGGCGGCGUCGCGUUUCGCUUGUGACUUCUUCUUGCCCUUCUUCCUCUCUUCCGGCUGGCGCCCCUGAGGCUGCUUGUCCUUCCGGAAGAUGGCCUCGAUCGCCUCCUGACCAGAGGCGAACUUGGUGGCGAUGUCCAUCAGCUCGCUCGCCCUGGUGGGAGUCUUGCGACCCAGCUUGCUCACCAGGUCGCGGCAAGUGGUGCCGGCGAGGAAAGCGCCGAUGACGUCUGAGUCGGUGAUGUUGGCCAGCUCGGUGCGCUGCUUCGAAAAUCGCUGGAUGUAGUCCCUCAGGGACUCUCCCGGCUGCUGGCGGCAGCUUCGGAGAUCCCAGGAGUUUCCAGGGCGCACGUAUGUGCCCUGGAAGUUGCUGGGGAAGGAUUUGACCAGGUCGUCCCAGUUGGAGAUCUGCGCAGGAGGCAGAUGCUCCAGCCAGGCUCGGGCGGCGUUGGAGAGGAAUAGGGAAAGUUGCGGAUGAUGAGAUUGUCAUCGUCCGUCCCACCCAGUUGGCAGGCCAGCCGGUAGUCCGUGAGCCACAGCUCCGGCUUUGACUCCCCCGAGUACUUGGUGAUGGUAGUCGGGGUUCGGAACCGGGUCGGGAACGGUGCCCGUCGUAUGGCCCGGCUGAAAGCUCGCGGACCGGGUGGUUCGGGCGAGGGGCUCCGAUCCUCCCCGCUGUCGUAGCAUCCCCCAUGCCUGGGUGGUAGCCUCGGCGCACCUUCUCGUCGAGGUGGGCUCGACGGUCGCGGCGGUGGUGCUCGUUGCCGAGGCGACCCGGGGCCACAUGCGCUGAGUUCCGCGUUCGCCCCGUGUGGACCGAGGCUUCCCGCAUGAAUCGGGAAGCCGCGGCGCGAUGCUCCGGGGGGUACCCCUGCCUUCGGGAGGCAGAGCUCUCGGCCCGUUGGACCGCGGCAUCUUCCAGGAGAUUCUUGAGCUCUCCCUGGAUACGCCGCCCUCGGUGGUGGAUGGUUUCGGCAUCGCUCGGAGUAGUAUCGCUGCUGCAGCCAGGUUCUGGCCGACCCCACUGGAAGCCGGGGGCAGCCUUGCCCUGGCAUCGUCGGCGAUGCAGUGCUGGACGUCCUGGGCCAGAUGACGCGCUUCUCCGGCCGGUGCUCGGCCUGCCCACUCCUGCCCGAUAUUUUGCCGAAACUGCACAAGUUGUCCUGCUUCUUCGUCGAGCCUGGCCUGUACCUCGCGGAUUUGCUCGAGCUGUGCGUCCUGACCCCCCGCAGGGACUGGGACCAUAGCUAGCUCUCAAAGGAUGUCAACGCGAGGCGUAGGCCUAGGGGGAUCACCGUCCUCCGGCAUACCAAGAUGGUUGCCUUCGUCGAGACCCCCUAGAUCGACGUGAAAGCAUUCGCGACUUGGGCCACAGUCCUCGUCGCCGAGGCUAUGGCUGCUAUCGGAGCAAUCAGAGAGGCAGUAGUCACAUGCGGUCAUGAAGUCCCGCAUGGCACUGGGUUAUCGAGCCCGGAGAAAUCCCAACCAGAGUCGGGCUCGUCAUCUUCCUCGGAACCCAGAGGUCUGUAGGUCGAGACGGCCGUCAACCGGUCCCAGGGUGACUGCAUAUGAUACCCAGGAGGGUUUGGACAUGCCUUUAUGAAAGCGUCUACCGAAGCGGGGUCGCUUGGUGGGUCGCAGCUAAAUCUAAAAGGCAUGGGACGGGAAACGGACGGUACCUCUCGAUCGACGUGCGGUGACGAAGUCACGUCGGGGACGGACUGCACCGUUGUCUCAGGUACGAGGCUGACACCCAGCAAGUCCUUCGCGAGCGUGCUGGCGUCGUCCGUCUGCUUGGGGUUGGCAUGUUGCGGGGAAACGACGCUCGUCUUCGUCUCAGACGCGAUGUCAACGCCCGACGUGUCCCCCGUUGGGGCGCCGGCGCCGUCGACUCGCUCGACAGCCGACGAGGUGUCGCGUCCUGCUUGGCCAUGCCUGCCCCGCCUCCUCCUCUGUCGGCGGGGAAGGUGACGGGACAGACCCGGAUGUUGCUCUUCCGUCACGUGGGGAAGACGUCGUUAAUUCCGCCGCCGGCGGGCGGGCUGACGGCUGCCAUUGUCGUUGUCGCGCGGCGGAGGAAGGAGUAUCAUGUCGUAGCUGCCGUCGAGGGACAUGAACUCAAGACUCCCGAAACGAAGCAUCGUCCCGGGUUGGAGAGGUUGCUGGAGACAACCCAUCUGGAGCUUGACGGGAAGCUGUUCGUCAACACGCAGCAGGCCCCUACCUGGCGCGCCAACUGUCGGCGUUUCGACCCCGAGGGGUCCCUGGACCGACGAGUAAAUUGUCGCCGCGUGUCCUAGCCCAGAUGGGUCGGCGCGAGACGGAGCACGAAGGGGGGAAAACAGCAAAAAGGAAACCCGCGGCCUCCGUGUGUCCUGCGCCCAGGUUGGGUGCGCUUGCAGUAGGGGGUUACAAGCGUUCGCGUGGGAGAGUGAGAGAGGGAGAGACUGUCCGCUAUCGUCAAAAGGGCAUCGAUUCGUGUUAGUUACCACUGACUACUUUACUAAAUGGACUGAAGUCGUUGCUUUAAAGAACAUGACACACAGGGAGGUAAUUGAGUUCAUAACCGAGCAUAUCAUUCAUAGAUUCGGCACUCCUCAGACUUUGACGAUAGACCAAGGGGCUUUUUUUGUCAAAAGAGGUACGUGAAUUUGCUGAAUUAUAUAGGAUCAAAUUGCUCAAUUCAUCUCCAUGUUAUGCUCCGGCCAAUGGACAGACCGAGUCCAGUAAUAGAACAUUGAUUAACCUGAUAAAAAAGAAGAUAUCUGAUAAUCCUAAGCAGUGGCAUAAGAUUUUGUCCAAAGCUUUGUGGGCUCACAGAAUAUCUAAACACCGUGCUACUAAAGUGUCUCAUUUUAAUCCUAAGCAGUGUUGCUUGUGGAAAUAACUUUAAAUACUGUCUGGUUUGCCUAGCAAAAUGAUCUAACUGUCGGUGAUUAUUUGAAGCGCCCUAAUCCUCUAGGACUCAAAUGUGAUACAAUUACUAGUCUCAGGAGGCUAGUAAAAACAUUUAUACAUCAGAUAGUUCCAGAUCUGCUUAAACGAGACAACCAUAAAGGUGGCGAUCAACUUUAAGAGUUGGUCCACAACUCGGGACAUAUCAUCAAGUGGGGCUGAAGCAGCCCGAUAUACGCAGCGAAGCAUAUCAGCGGUCCAACAGCCAUAGGCAAGGUUGGGAACAUGCGUAACUCUUACCCGAUUAGUGAUCUCCUUCUCUAAAAAACAACAAAUAAGCAUGGGUGAGUACUUACGUACUCAGCAGCCCACCUUCACCCACGGAAUGGGGAAAUCAGAUAUAAUGCAUGGAGUAUGUGGAGCUCAGGAUAUUUUGCAGAAAGAGCAAUAUUUGAUGCAGGGUUAUUUUGUAAAACAUUUUAUAUUUUUCAAAGCACAUCCUCUCCCAAACGAGCAGGAAGUUUUUCAAUAUAGAGCAAAAUCCCCUGGACUAAACCAUCCAGGUAUCUCAGCAGUUUCCCACUGGUUUUCAUUUUCAAAAACAGCUACUGGACUUCCCGUCCACCAUAGCUCACGGCUCGACAGCAGAACCUUUUAAAACCACUUUUCAAAAGCAUUUCAUGGAAAACAAAACACUAAUUUUCAAAUCCAUGCCAUGACUCAUCCAUAUCCGUGGACAUGAACUAUUUGAAUAGGUUUUUAAACUCUAUGCAGAGGUGUACACUUUACCCACUAGUCCGGUUUCUGCAAUCUCACCGUCGUGAGAUCCAAAUGCCGAAUCUCUCUCUUUCCUUGCACGUCCUUUCCUUAGCGAUUAUAUCGGAAGGAACAAGGCCACCACCAUGCCCAAACCGGAUAAAACAUUCCCCUUCCUUAUCCUCCCGGUGCUCCCCAGCCGUCAUAUUCCUGGGGUUUGGACCGUACAAGUUCAGAUCAAGCGACUGCCCAUACAGUCUUGAGUGGUUGUACUUGAUAAGAGUAUAGGUAAGGAGUGAUGACAAAUUGGUCCUUAGGCGAGAGGGACAAUCCUUCAUGCUCACAACUAAACCAGCUGAGCCAUCACCUUAGGCCCUCCCCUAAACCAGGGAGUCCCUAAUCAUCCCGCUCAAAGGUGAUAAGGGUGACAACCCUUCAUCAUACCCAUUUUGAAAAACAUUUUCUUUUGAAAACUCACACCUUUUCUCAAAUCAUUUGUAACAAAUAUGUCAAGGAGUAUAAGGAUUAAUUGCGGCAAAGUUCUGAGGCUGGGUGGCCAUAAUAACUUGUCUCAAAAUCAUAUCAUGCAUAAAAUAACAGGCUGAGGGUUGUGGUUGAAAAAGCAUAUGUAAUUUACAUCAAAGGGAUCUAGUGAGCUUGCCGUUGCUUUAACCAGCGAAAGGGUGAGAGCUCGCGGAACUGGCUUCUGGCUCCACCAUCUGGCAUAGACUUCCAUAUCUGGCCUUCACGAGACGGCACGAACGCUCUGAUAACUACGCAACAUGAACAAGCAAACAUACAAACCAGCAAGAAUAUCAACAAAUAUUUAGUAUAGUGGUCAGAAAUAGCGAUAUAUGGAUGGGUAGAGUCUUGAGCAGAAUCUGUGUCAUGGGGUGUUGUGAUAUUACUGGUGGUGGAGCGGAGGUGCUUACCAGGAGGGUGGAUUGGAGGCGAAGCGACACUAUGCGUGUAGCCGGCGGAGCGGAGUAACUGAGUGGGUGGGGGUUUGCCUUGGCUGAGGGUGUUGAGUGUGUGGAGAGGGAGAGGAUAGCUGGGUGUAUUUAUGGAUGGGUGUAUGUGGUGUAGUACAAUAGAAUUCUCUGUUGGUGAGAACAGUGACGAAUGAAUUGUCUAACUUAGUAUGAACAGGAAAAUUAUAGGCAGAAUAUGGGACAAGAGUAUUUUGGGAGUUUUCUGGAAUAUGAACCAUGCUUAAGGGGUGACAUGGUUGGAAAGGGAAUAGUUUGGUAAGAAUUUAGAAACAAGAAUUAUUGGAAUUUGAGUUUAGAAGCCUGGUUCGAAAGAAUCCCAAAGUUAAGCGUGCUUAACUUGAAGAAAUCUGGGAUGGGUGACCAGAUGGAAAGUUCUUAGUGGAAGGAAAAUCACAGUCACCGAAGUUUGUAUGACUGGAAUAUUGGUCUGGCAGGUUUUAGGUGAGCUGGACAGCAUGAUGGAUGAGAAGUUGAAAUUUGGGGUGAUCGGAUGAUCGAUGAAUAGUAACAAUGAAUAGUAACGAUGAUGAAUAGUAAUCAUGAAUAGUAAUGGUGACUAGUUCGUAUGUGAGAGCACCUAGAGGGGGGGUGAAUAGGUGAUCCUGUAAAAACUUGAAACUUAUAGCCACAAAACUUGGUUAAGUGUUAGUAGGCUAAAUAGCGAGCUCUUGUGAACACAAGUAUCACAGAAAAGCAAUCACAAAAGACACGCGAGUUAUCCCGUGGUUCGGCCAAGUACAACACUUGUCUACCCCACGUUGUGGCGUCCCAAUGGACGAGGGUUGCACUCAACCCCUUUCAAGUGAUCCAAGGAUCCACUUGAAUACCAUGGUGUUUCUUUCUUUUCACUAUAUCCCGUUCGCGAGGAAUCUCCACAACUUGGAGCCUCUCGCCCUUACAAAUGAUGAUCACAAAGAAGCACAGAUGUAAGGGAGGGAAAAGCAACACACACAAGUCUCAAAAGCAACAGCUCAAACUCGCACACUAAUCACAACUUGAGCUCUAAGUUCACACACGGAGUUCUCAACUCAAGAGGAGCUCAAAUUGCUAUCACAAAGAAUCAAACGCGCUAGAAUGAAGACUUAGUGCUUAGAGAUGAUCAAAGAAUGCUUGGUGUACUCCUUCAUGCGCCUAGGGGUCCCUUUUAUAGUCCCAAGGCAGCUAGGAGCCGUUGAGAGCAAUCCAGGAAAGCAAAUCUUGCCUUCUGUCGACUGGUGCACCGGACAGUCCGGUGCACCACCGGACACUGUUCGGUGCAGAUUUCUUUCCUGUUCUGGCGCAGCCGACCGUUGACGAUUUGGAGCCGUUGGCGCACCGGACACUGUCCGGUGCACACCGGACAGUCCGGUGCCCCCAUCAGACCGUUGGCCCGGCCACGCGUCACGCGCGGAUUGCGCGGCCGACCGUUGGCUCACCGGACAGUCCGGUGCACCACAGGACAGUUUAGUGAUUUUUGGCCGUACGCCGCCAUCGAGUUCCCGAGAGCGGCCAGUUGAUCAGCGCCAGCCUGGCGCACCGGACACUGUCCGGUGCACCCAGACUGAGCAGAGCCUUGGCUGCUCGAGCCAAGUCUUUUCCAUUUGUGUUUUCUCUGAUUAUAGCACUUAGACAAAUAUGUUAGUACACAAAAACCAAUGUACUAAGUCUAGAAUCAUACCUUUGUAUUGAUUUGCACUUUGUCCACCAUUUGGCAUAGUUUAACACAUAACCAUUUGUGUUGGACACUUAAUCACCAAAAUACUUAGAAAUGGCCCAAGGGCACAUUUCCCUUUCAAUCUCCCCCUUUUUGGUGAUUUAUGCCAACACAACAAAAAGCAACAUAUAGAAGUGCAACAUCAAUGCAAAUGAGAACAAGAAUUUGUUUUGAUUCAAAUUUGGCAUAUUUGGAUCAUUCUUUGCCACCACUUGGUUUGUUUUUGCAAAUCAAACUCAAUUUCCUAUCUCUAAUUCAAAUUCACUUGUUGAGGCAUAGAGAGAGGUAUUCCAAGAGAAAUUGAUCAAAGAUUCAAAAACUCCCCCUUUUUCCCAUAAUCAACCAUUCUCCCCACAAGAGACCAAAUUUUGACAAUAAGAGACCAUAAGAGUAUUUUGCCAAAACAAAAACUCUACCUCUACUAUUUUCAAAAUUCUCAAGUGGUAGCUGAUCCAUUUCUUGCUUUGGCCUUAACUUCUCCCCCUUUGGCAUCAAGCACCAAAACGGGAUCAUAUUUGGCCCUUAAACCCCAUUGCCUCACCAAAAUCUUCAAAUAAGAGUAAAAGGCAAUAAGAGUAAGGAGAUGAACUUGGAGUAAGUUACCCUCUCAUCGGAGUGCAGUGGAAGUCUUUCAUGGUCCAAGUCCACCUUUCCCUUUCAAUAUGUCUUUGAGACUAAUUUAAGAACACUUAAGCACAUGGUUAGUCUCAAAGGAUCAAGUUGUAGCACAUCUCCCCCCUAAAUAUGUGCAUCACUCACACAUGGACUUUUGAGAUCCGGGGAUUGCGUUGUACAACUUGAUCACCAUAAUUAAGCAACAAAAUGCAUAAAAGGAACAUGAUCAAAGGCAUAAAACACAUGUAUGCUAUAAAUCAAUCCAAGUUCCGCGAAUCUAAGACAUUUAGCUCACUACGCAGCCUACAAAAGGUCUUCUCAUCUAGAGGCUUGGUAAAGAUAUCUGCUAGCUGGUUCUCGGUGCUAACAUAAAACACUUCGAUAUCUCCCUUUUGCUGGUGGUCUCUCAAAAUGUGAUGUCGGAUGUCUAUGUGCUUUGUGCGGCUGUGUUCAACAGGAUUAUCCGCCAUGCGGAUAGCACUCUCAUUAUCACAUAGGAGUGGGACUUUGCUCAGAUUGUAGCCAAAGUCCCGGAGGGUUUGCCUCAUCCAAAGUAGUUGCGCGCAACACUGUCCGGUGGCAACAUACUCGGCCUCAGCGGUGGAUAGGGCACCGGAAGUUUGUUUCAUAGAGCUCCAGGACACCAGGGACCUUCCUAAGAAUUGGCACGUCCCUGAUGUACUCUUCCUAUCAACCUUACAUCCAGCAUAAUCGGAGUCUGAAUAUCCAAUUUAGUCAAAGGUAGACCCCUUUGGAUACCAGAUCCCGAAGCAAGGCGUAGCGACUAAAUAUCUAAGAAUUCGCUUCACGGCCACUAAGUGACACUCCCUUGGAUCGGAUUGAAAUCUAGCACACAUGCAUACACUAAGCAUAAUAUCCGGUCUACUAGCACAUAAGUAAAGCAAGGAACCUAUCAUAGACCGGUAUGCUUUUUGAUCAACGGACUUACCUCCUUUGUUGAGGUCGACGUGUCCGUCAGUUCCCAUUGGAGUCUUUGCGGGCUUGGCAUCCUUCAUCCCAAACCGCUUGAUCAAGUCUUGCGUGUACUUCGUUUGGGAGAUGAAAGUGUCGUCCUUGAGUUGCUUCACUUGGAACCCAAGGAAGUAGUUCAACUCGCCCAUCAUUGACAUUUAAAACUUUUGAGUCAUCACCCUGCUAAACUCUUCACAAGACUUUUGGUUAGUAGAACCAAAUAUUAUGUCAUCGACAAAAAUUUGGCACACAAAUAAGUCACCAUCACAAGUCUUAGUGAAUAAAGUUGGAUCGGCUUUCCCAACCUUGAAAGCAUUAGCAAUUAAAAAGUCUCUAAGGCAUUCAUAUCAUGCUCUUGGGGCUUGCUUAAGUCCUUAGAGCGCCUUAGAGAGCUUACACACGUGGUCGGGGUACCGUUCAUCCUCGAAGCCAGGGGUUGCUCUACGUACACCUCCUCCUUGAUUGGCCCGUUGAGGAAAGCGCUCUUCACAUCCAUUUGGAACAACCUGAAAGAAUGGUGAGCGGCAUAGGCUAAUAAUAUGCGAAUUGACUCUAGCCUAGCCACAGGAGCAAAAGUCUCCUCAAAGUCCAAACCUGCGACUUGGGCAUAACCUUUUGCCACAAGUCGUGCCUUGUUCCUUGUCACCACCCCGUGCUCGUCCUGUUUGUUGCGGAACACCCACUUGGUUCCCACAAUGUUUUGCUUGGGACGUGGCACCAGUGUCCAAACUUCAUUUCUCUUGAAAUUGUUGAGCUCCUCCUGCAUGGCCAACACCCAGUCUCAAUAGAAGAGACAAAAGAGUAAUGCUCACAAAAAUUAACUAAUCUAAAUCGAGUAGUUACUCCCUUGCUAAUAUCACCCAAUAUCUGAUCGACGGGAUGAUUCCUUUGAAUCGUCGCUCGAACUUGAGUUGGAGGGGCAUGUUGUGCUUCUUCCUCCAUAACAUGAUCAUCUUGUGCUCCCCCUUGAUCACAUGCCUCUUCUGGAUGAACCUGUUCAUCGUCUUGAGUUGGGGGUUGUACCAUUGUUGAGGAAGAAGGUUGAUCUUGCUCCUUUUGUUCCUGUGGCCGCACAUCUCCAAUUGCCAUGGUGCGUAUUGCGGUCGUUGGAACGUCUUCUUCAUCUACAUCAUCAAGAUCAGCAACUUGCUCUCUUGGAGAGCCAUUAGUCUCAUCAAAUACAACGUCGCUAGAGACUUCAACCAAACCCGAUGAUUUGUUGAAGACUCUAUACGCCUUUGUAUUUGAGUCAUAACCUAACAAAAACCCUUCUACAGCUUUGGGAGCAAAUUUAGAAUUCCUACCUUUCUUCACUAGAAUGUAGCAUUUACUCCAAAAUACACGAAAAUAUGGAACGUUGGGCUUGUUACCGGUUAGUAGCUCAUAUGAAGUCUUCUUGAGGAGGCGAUGAAGGUAGACCCGGUUUAUGGCGUGGCAAGUCGUGUUCACGGCUUUCGACCAAAACCGCUCGGGCGUCUUGAACUCUCCAAGCAUCGUCCUUGCCAUGUCGAUGAGUGUCCUGUUCUUCCUCUGUACCACACCAUUUUGCUGUGGUGUGUAGGGAGCGGAGAACUCGUGCUUGAUUCCUUCCUCCUCAAGAUACUCCUCUACUUGAAGGUUCUUGAACUCGGACCCGUUGUCGCUCCUUAUCUUUUUCACCUUGAGCUCAAAUUCAAUUUGAACUCUCCUAAGGAAGCGCUUGAGGGUCCCUUGGGUUUCAGAUUUAUCCUGCAAAAAGAAUACCCAAGUGAAUCGGGAAAAAUCAUCAACAAUUACUAAACCAUACUUACUUCCCCCGAUGCUAAGGUAGGCGACGGGUCCAAAGAGGUCCAUAUGCAGCAGCUCCAGGGGUCUUGAUGUAGUCAUCACGUUCUUGCUGUGAUGAGCAUUUCCCACCUGUUUACCUGCUUGACAAGCUGCACAAGGUCUAUCUUUUUCGAAAGUUACAUUUGUUAGACCUAACACAUGUUCUCCCUUUAGAAGUUUGUGAAGGUUCUUCAUCCCCACAUGUGCUAAACGGCGAUGCCACAACCAGCCCAUGCUAGUCUUAGCAAUUAAGCAUGCAUCUAGACCGGCCUCCUCUUUUGCAAAAUCAACUAAAUAAAGUUUGUCGUCUAGUACACCCUUAAAAGCUAAUGAACCAUCACUUCUUCUAAAGACAGACACAUCUACAUUUGUGAAUAAGCAAUUAUAACCCAUAUUACAAAGUUGACUAACGGACAACAGGUUAUACCCGAGCGACUCAACUAAAAACACAUUAGAAAUGGAGUGCUUGGAUGAAAUAGCAAUCUUUCCUAGUCCUUUAACCUUGCCUUGGUUCCCAUCACCGAAUAUGAUUGAAUCUUGGGAAUCCUUGUUCUUGACGUAGGAGGUGAACAUCUUCUUCUCCCCCGUCAUGUGGUUUGUGCAUCCGCUGUCGAUAAUCCAGCUUGAGCCCCCGGAUGCAUAAACCUGCAAGGCAAAUUUAGGCUUGGGUCUUAGGUACCCAACUCUUGUUGGGUCCUGCAAGGUUAGUGACAAUAGUCUUAGGGACCCAAAUGCAAGUUUUAUCUCCCUUGCAUUUUGCCCCUAAUUUCCUAGCAAUUACUUUCUUAUCCUUUCUACAAAUUGCAAAGGAAGCAUUGCAAGCAUGAUAAAUUGUAGAAGGUUCAUUACUUGCUUUCCUAGGUACAUGAACAACAUUUCUCCUAGGCAUAUGAUGAAUAACAUUUUUCCUAGGCAUAUCAUGCACAAUAGAAGAACUAGAAGCAGGCAUAGCAUAUGAAUCAUAAGAAUAAUUCCUAUAAGCAUUUCUAGAGAAUUUUCUAUCACUAUAAAUGAAAGCAUGAUUCUUUUGAACACUAUUAGCCGUAGGGGCCUUCCCUUUUUCCUUGGCGGAGAUGGGAGCCUUAUGACUUGUUAAGUUCUUGGCUUCCCUCUUAAAGCCAAGCCCAUCCUUAAUUGAGGGGUGUCUACCAACAGUGUAGGCAUCCCUUGCAAAUUUUAGUUUAUCAAAUUCAUUUUUGCUAGUCUUAAGUUGGGCAUUAAGACUAGCCACUUCACCAUUUAGUUUUGCAAUAGAAGUAAGGUGUUCAACACAUGCAUCAACAUUAAAGUCCUUACACCUAUUGCAAAUCACUACAUGUUCUACACAAGAACUAGAUUUACUUGCUACUUCUAGCUUAGCAUUUAAAUCAUCAUUAACACUUUUUAAACUAGAAAUAGUCUCAUGGCAAGUAGAUAAUUCACAAGAAAGCAUUUCAUUCCUUUUAACUUCUAAAGCAAGAGAUUUUUGGGCAUCUACAAAUUUAUCAUGCUCUUCAUACAAAAGAUCCUCUUGCUUUCCUAACAAUCUAUUCUUGUCAUUCAAAGCAUCGAUUAAUUCAUUGAUUUUAUCAAUUUUAGUUCUAUCUAAACCUUUGAAUAAACUAGCAUAGUCUAUUUCAUCAUCGCUAGAUUCAUCAUCACUUGAAGAAGCAUAUGUAAUAGUAUCCCUAGUGCAUACCUUCUUUUCCUUUGCCAUGAGGCAGGUGUGAUGCUCGUUGGGGAAGAGGGAUGAUUUGUUGAAGGCCGAGGCGGCAAGUCCUUCGUCGUCGGAUGACGAGCAAUCCGAGUGCCACUCUUUGCCAAGGUGUGCCUCGCCCUUCGCUUUCUUGUAAGUCUUCUUCUUUUCCCUCUUCUUUUCUUGAUCCUGGUCACUAUCAUUAUCAGGACAGUUAGCAAUAAAGUGACCAACCUUACCACACUUGAAGCAGGAGCGCUUCCCCUUCGUCUUGCUCUUGUUGGGGUGAUCCUUGCGACCUUUGAGCGUCGUCUUGAAGCGCUUGAUGAUGAGGGCCAUUUCAUCUUCAUUUAGCCCGACCGCCUCAACUUGCACCACCAUGCUAGGUAGUGCCUCCCUGCUACUUGUUGCUUUGAGAGCAAUGGUUUGAGGCUCGUAGAUUGGGCCAUUCAACGCCUCAUCAACAUAUCUCGCCUCCUUGAUCAUCAUUCGCCCGCUUACAAACUUUCCGAGUAUUUCCUCGGGCGUCAUCUUGAUGUACCUAGGAUUCUCACGAAUAGAGUUUACAAGAUGAGGAUCAAGGACAGUGAAGGACCUUAGCAUGAGUCGGACGACGUCGUGGUCCGUCCAUCUCGUGCUUCCAUAGCUUCUUAUCUUGUUGACCAGGGUCUUUAGCCUAUUGUAUGUUUGAGUUGGCUCCUCUCCCCUGGUCAUUGCGAACCUUCCUAGUUCGCCUUCCACCAACUCCAUCUUGGUGAGCAUGGUGACGUCGUUCCCCUCAUGCGAGAUCUUGAGGGUGUCCCAGAUCUGCUUGGCAUUGUCCAAGCCGCUCACCUUAUUGUACUCUUCCCUGCACAAGGAUGCUAAAAGAACAGUAGUAGCUUGUGCAUUUUUAUGGAUUUGUUCAUUGAUAAACAUGGAGUUAUCCGAACUAUCAAAUUGAAUCCCAUUUUCUACUAUCUCCCAUAUACUUGGAUGAAAAGAAAACAAGUGGCUACGCAUUUUGUGACUCCAAAAUCCGUAGUCCUCUCCAUCAAAAUGUGGGGGUUUACCAAGUGGAAUGGAAAGCAAAUGAGCAUUUGAAUUAUGCGGAAUACGAGAAUAAUCAAAAUAAAAGUUCGAGUUAACCGUUUUCUUUUUCUCCUCGUAUUCGUCGUCCUUUUGAGAAGAGGAAGAUUCGUCGCUGUCAUAGUAGACAACCUUCCUGAUGCGCCUCUUCUUCUUUCCGUCUUUCUUCUUUUGACUCGAGCCGGAGUCAUUGACUUUGUCGUCCCUUGGCUCGUUGAAGAUGGACUCCUUCUCAUUGUCGUUGACCACCAUCCCCUUUCCCUUAGGAUCCAUCUCUUCGGGCGAUUAGUCCCUUUCUUGAAGAGAACGGCUCCGAUACCAAUUGAGAGCACCUAGAGGGGGGUGAAUAGGUGAUCCUGUAAAAACUUGAAACUUAUAGCCACAAAACUUGUUUAAGUGUUAGUAGGCUAAAUAGCGAGCUCUUGUGAACACAAGUAUCACAGAAAAGCAAUCACAAAAGACACGCGAGUUAUCCCAUGGUUCGGCCAAGUACAACACUUGCCUACUCCACGUUGUGGCGUCCCAAUGGACGAGGGUUGCACUCAACCCCUUUCAAGUGAUCCAAGGAUCCACUUGAAUACCACGGUGUUUCUUUCUUUUCACUAUAUCCCGUUCGCGAGGAAUCUCCACAAAUUGGAGCCUCUCGCCCUUACAAAUGAUGAUCACAAAGAAGCACGGAUGUAAGGGAGGGAAAAGCAACACACACAAGUCUCAAAAGCAACAGCUCAAACACGCACACUAAUCACAACUUGAGCUCUAAGUUCACACACGGAGUUCUCAACUCAAGAGGAGCUCAAAUUGCUAUCACAAAGAAUCAAACGCGCUAGAAUGAAGACUUGGUGCUUAGAGAUGAUCAAAGAAUGCUUGGUGUACUCCUUCAUGUGCCUAGGGGUCCCUUUUAUAGUCCCAAGGCAUCUAGGAGCCGUUGAGAGCAAUCCAGGAAGGCAAAUCUUGCCUUCUGUCGACUGGUGCACCGGACAGUCCGGUGCACCACCGGACACUGUCCGGUGCAAAUUUCUUUCUUGUUCUAGCACAGCCGACCGUUGACGAUUUAGAGCCGUUGGCGCACCGGACACUGUCCGGUGCACACGGGACAGUCCGGUGCCCCCAUCAGAUCGUUUGCCCGGCCACGCGUCACACGCAGAUUGCGCGGCCGACCAUUGGCUCGGUCGACCGUUGGCUCACCGGACAGUCCGGUGCACCACCGGACAGUCCGGUGAUUUUUAGCCAUACGCCACCGUCGAGUUCCCGAGAGCGGCCAGUUGAUCAACGCCAGCCUGGCGCACCGGACACUGUCCGGUGCACCCAGACUGAGCAGAGCCUUGGCUGCUCGAGCCAAGUCUUUUCCAUUUGUCUUUUCUCUGAUUCUAGCACUUAGACAAAUAUGUUAGUACACAAAAACCAAUGUACUAAGUCUAGAAUCAUACCUUUGUAUUGAUUUGCACUUUGUCCACCAUUUGGCAUAGUUUAACACAUAACAAUUUGUGUUGGACACUUAAUCACCAAAAUACUUAGAAAUGGCCCAAGGGCACAUUUCCCUUUCAGUAUGAACGAACGAUAAACGAUGAAUAGUGACUAUGAAUGAUGAUUAGGGACUAUGAACGAACAAUGAACGAUGAAUAGGGAUUAUGAACGAACGAUGAACGAUGAAUAGGGACUAUGAACAAUGAAUAGGGACUAUGAACGAACGAUGAAUGAUGAAUAGGAACUAUGAACGAACGGACGAACGAUCGGAUGAACGAACGAUCGGAAUUUUGGCAGCAUAACGGCUGAACAAAGAUUAUUUGGACGAACGAACGGGUGAACGAUCGGACGAACAAACGAACAAACUAAGAACAUGUGGACGAACGAUCGAAGAACGACCGAACGAUCCUUGUGCUAGUGUGUGCUUGUGUGGGACUUGGAGUGGGCGUGUGGGGGGGAGAGAGUUAUCAUGGAAUGGCUUGGGGUGGCUUGAAAGGAGGCCCUUGCCCCUCUAUUUAUAGGCUAGGUGGGGGGAUUAGGGGGAGGAGGAGGCGAGGAUUAGUGGGAGGAUGCGAGAAUUAGUGAGAGAUAAGCAUGUAUUAGUCUUGUAUAAGUGAAAUUAGCUUGUAGAACUCACUGUAUGACACUGGAGGCGUACGUAUACAUAUGAGCAUCAGUAAGAUUAUGAAGAAAAUAUUUGUAGGGACUUUAAAAAUGAUUCUGAAGGUAUUUCUCAGGAGGAAACUUUUGAAGAAUUAUCGGUGGAAUAUUUGGGCAGUAUUUCUGGAAAGAUUUUGAGGGGGAUCACUAGGGAAAUAUUUGUAGGAUAUUUUGAGGAGAAUAUAGACCACUAUAUUUUAUUUGUUGAGAUCAACUCUCAAACAAACAUUUUGAAAUGAAAUUUAAAAUUCAUUUUGAAUUUAGGGCGAGUUUGAGAAAAUUUCAAGAUUUGAAUUUUCGGGGUGAUACAGAUCUACCCCACUUAAAAUGAAUCUUGUCCUCGAGAUUCGGCUUAGAAGUGUUAUGGGUAUAGCUUUACUUUAGCUACAAAUCUUCACUUUGCAGACUCUUCGAGGAGAUGGAGCUUCAACAAAAUUUGGCCUUUGAGGAGCAUCCGGUUGCUGAUUGCAAAUGCUGAUUCUGGCUACUCAAAGAUCAUCUUCAGGCUUCUAGCUUUCGCUUGGCAGCUAGCUUAUUUAAGAAGCAUCGUUGCCAACACACAAACCUUCUUGCGAACUUAUCCAUGGGUUCCUUCCUUGAUUGGUCUUCUGGUGCUUUAUCAACAAAACUUGGGUGACCACUUCUCAUUUAGAAACUUAUAUGCUUGGAUGAUCUGGUCCUCCACUGUCACACCUGAUUUUAAUGGACAAAGCCGGGUGCAUCUCAUAUAUGCGCCAAAGAAGACAACACAUAUAAUAACAGAGUGUAUAGAGAUAAAUGUCACAAUAUAAUCAGAGUACUUAUUACAUAGCAGAAGUCUUACAAAAUAAAAGAUAAAUAUACAUCAAACUAAAAUCCAUCCUUGGCGCCACAAAGUCAACUAGGAUACACCACCUAGAUCGAAUCGAACUCCUCAAUAUGUGGCUCCUCUUGAACCACCUGUUCUUCUCCCAUCGGGGGUGUGAGACAGCAAGGGUGAGCUCACACAUGAUCAUAGCUCAACAAGUUGUGGGGAAUAAUGUGUCAUGAACUGACCAAAGGUGGGAGUUCAUGUAAUGUGUAUGGCUUACCAAAGAGAAUGGUUAAAGCUGAGCAUUUCUUUUAAAGUUGGUCAAAGUUUUAUUAGUACGUACUAAAUGUAAGUAAAUACCAAACCAUAAUAAUAAUAGUAGAACAAAAUUAAUAAUAAACCCAUGCAAAUGCAAAUGACAAAUUGAAUUUAAGUUCCAUAAUUUAAUCAUGUGAGAGUCCUGAGCUGCUCUUAACCGUGAGCUCGGCUAGUAUACCAGUUUUAAACUCUGCAGAGGUUGUACCCUAUACCCACAAGUCAUGUAUCCCAUGUCGCCAGGGUUAGCUAGACCCUUAGACACUACCGAGGUGAAUGGCUAGGGAUCCACUACAAGGCCUUUAUAAAGUUCCACUAGCUUCCGAAAACCCGCUACAGUUUAUGUGAAGAGCACUUGCAAGAAUCCCUUGUCUGACCACCAUCGCAGCAAAAUCAACCCAAGAACCUCCUUGCAUGCAACUCCCCUACUGCUCUUUCCCCUUUCAGGUAAGGUAGUCUUCCACUAGCUUUCGUAAUUAGUCAGCCAAGGGCGUCCCAUUCCACCCUUGUGGUGGCACGUGUUUCUCAAGUGAAGCUCCAUGUUCCAAUUAAAAUAUAAUGAUCUUGACAUGAAUAUAAAUAAAAUAACAGAAUAACUGGAACAUGGAUAUAAUGAAAUAUUAUCCCAAAACCAUAUAAAGCAAUAGCAAUACUACCCAAGUGAUUCAGGGGUAAACAAGGUAAAAGAUAAUCAGACUAGGGUGACCUAUUGGGUCCUAUCAAAAUUAAACCUAUGCAUUGAAUAGUGAUAAUAAAGAACACUAUUGGGUAACAAAGGUGGUCAAGGGCACAACUUGCCUGGCACUUGAGAUUCCAGGUACCAGGAUGAUUCUUCAGAUCCUCGUAACCUCGAGCUAGUCGUAGCAAUAUAAACAAACAUGGUAUAGGGAAAAUUAACAUCACACCAAACAUAAGAACAAACUACAUAAUAAUAUUCUACGCUGUGUAACGAGAUCGUAGGAACAAGAAUUACUAAAUUCGGAGUUAUACUUAUUUAGUUAUGAAUUAUAUUUCUGAAGUUUUUAAGUACUUGGAAUAGCAUAACUCAUGUGAAUAAUUUUAGUUCAAGUUUCAUGGCUAAACAAAUCUACUAAGUGAUAAAGAAUAUUAAAACAAAAUUAGUGUCUUUGGAAUGACUCAAUUUGGAGUUAAAAUGAAGUUAAUAUGAAUUAUACAAGUUUUUGAAAUUAUUUUUGUAUUAAAAUCAAUUUCCUUAAUUAUUUCUCUAUUUUUACUACUCUCUGGAUUGGACGCCAUAUUCUUAAAUGUUCAGGGCCUCAUCUAUAAUUUUCUCCAAGACUCAGACUGCAUCCCUACUAGACGGUGGGUUAAUUGCAAAUAAGUCCAGGGUGUCUUUAGUAAGUUGGUCGGGCCAAAACGGUACAAGAAUUUCUCGUUCACUAGAUCAAGAACCAAAGGUCACGAUUAUAAGGCCAUUUACCCGAACCGGUACACAAUGAUAUGCGCAGGAAGUGAAAUCUACGGCUCUGGUUUAAUGUUUACGCGAUCUGUCUUCGACCGUCCAUCAAAUGAUUUAUGGUCGAGAUGGAGUCAUGUCGAAGCGGUGCAUUGAUUAGAUCCCAACCAUUUAACGCUGGAUCCAUGGCCCAGAGCAGUUCACUCGCACCGGUCAGACUCCGGCGGCGGAGUGAAGUUCCCACGGCGGCGCCAUUGCCACCCGUACCCAAAACUACGCCUAAGUGCGCCAAACGUCGAUCCUGACCGCGCAACGGAUAGAGGAGAUCAUAGCGAACAUGGGGAUUGAUUACUUACUGAUAUGACCGCAACACAGGUCCUAGCCCACGUGCGUGAGUGGCUUCUCUGUCGUACUGUUGCUCCGGCAAGCAAUUUGCCACAAGCCGACUCCCACAAGCGCCCAGUGAGUCCACGCGCAGUCCCCCGCGAACGUGAUGACGCUCCCGGCCUACCCGCUUAGGUCCCAACAUCGGCGUGGGCGCGCCACCACGGCAGCGGCCCUGCGGUUCUCUCUCUCUCUCUCGAUGGAGAAACUCGGCGCAUAGCUGAUACAGUUGGUCGCGGUCAUGGGCAUGCGAUGGAGGGGGAAAGGGCUACGCAGUCCCAGGUCUGGCCUUUAUUCUCCGCAAACCCAGCACAACUAACCCCGCCACGGAUCUCCCACAGAUUUCCCGCGUGCAGUUGAGGACGAACCCGUGGAGCGGAUGAGGUAGCUGACCGAUGGAGUAGUUGCUUCGAGGUGGGACCCGCAUGUCACACCCACUUCCCACGCGCACGCAUACAAGAGACCGGUCCCUGCUGACCGUAAAGGCCCACGCGUCGGUGAUAGAUCCCAUAUGGCCAUAUCCCACUGGGCUGCAUGGAGGUGAAGGUGGUUAUGGGCCAAAAUAGUAGCGGCCCGCCCGCUUAGGUUAGAUUCGUUUUAUUCUUUUCUUUUAUUCUUUUUAUUCCCUAUUCUCUUUUCUUCCUUUCCAAAUUCAUAUUUUCAUUUCAAAUUUAAAUUCCAUUCUUGUGUCAAAUUUAUCCUCACAUCAUAUUGUGAAAUUAAAAGUACCAAUUUGAAAUUAUAUUUAUAUAUUUUAUUUAAAUUUUUAAUAUCCUUUCUUGUUUUUUUCUUUUCUUUCCAAAUCCACAUUUCAAUUUAAAUUCAAAGUGUGUGACAAAUUCCUCUUCACAUUAAAUGUUCAAUUUGAACAUAGUAUGGUAAUUAUUUAUUUAUUUAUUUAUUUAUAAUUUUUAUUUUGUUUUGUAUAGUUUUUCUCUCUUUCUAUAUUAUUUCCAAUUUCCCCCAAUUUGCACUUUUGGGGUUAAAUAUAAUUCACAUCUCAUUAUUAUAUUUCCAUAUUAUUCCUUUUUGACAUUACAAAAUUUCUAAUUCCAAUCUAAGAUAAGGUUUAAGAAUUCAAAUUUAAUACCCUCUAAAAGUCAAUCAUGAUGCCGUGGAUAUCUAUUUAUUCUAAAUAAUUUAUUUGUUUGAUAAAUGUUUGAAAUAUGAAACACACUCAUAUUAUUCCUUUCUUUUUAGCAAAAUAACAUUUUGAAUGUGGGACAAGAAAUAAAAGUCACUUCAAAAUUAGAUAUUCAUGCAAAUAAAUGCUUAUGGUGCAUCAUUUAAUGAUAUGCAUAAUUAUUUAGUUGAAUAGAAAACUUUUCUAUUACUUCUUUUCUAAAAUAAUUCUUGGUUUUCAAAAUUCAGUCCUCAAUUUUCAAUGCUCAACUAUAAUUUGAGAUAUCUCAAUUUACUAUUUCAUUUCUUCAUAUAUUUAUUUUAUUAUUAUAUUUUUUUCUUAUACACAUUUUGGGCCUUACAAAUCCUACCCCCCUUAACAGAAAUCUCGUCCUCGAGAUUUGUAAGAAAAGGGUGUAUAACCAUGUUAUCUCAAAACAUAUGCACAAACAAAAUCUCAGCAUGAUGCAUAAUUCAUUUGCAACACAUGGGGUCAAAUAGACCUUAUUAUUCCUCCUACAAUAGUAAAAUACUAGCUACUAACUAAAGUAACACUUAGGUCUUACAAAUAGUAAUAAUAUAUUUAUAGCUUGGUGGAGGUGGUGGAGGUAGUGGGCGUUGUUGUUGUUGUCUUGCCAACCGUGCUUGCCUUAUUUCUUGACGUAUCUCCAGCCGGUCCUGACGUAUUUCUUGGCGUUCUUGCCUUAUCUGAUUUUGCAUUUCGGUAACUUUGUUUGCCAUUUGUUGUAUUACCAUCAUUUGGGCAGCAACCACUUGAUCGAUUCCAACCGGUGGAGGAUCUGAAGGAUUCAUUUCUGUUUGUUGUUUCCUGGUAAUCUUUCCUCCCUGGUAUUGACCAUCAAAGUUAGUAGAAUAUGGUAAUAUAAUUUUUGCAAGGAAAACUAUUUGGCAAGUAGACGAAUAGGCAAAUAACUGAUUAUGAACUGAAGAUUCUUUGGUAGGGUUUAAUCUUCCUUUAAUGUCCAGAUUGGGGUAACUAAUCGUAUAAGGUGAAUAUCUAAAGAUAGGAUAGAAUUUUGUCAAGAUGAGAUAGUCUACAUGAUGUAGGUUAGAAGUUUGUUUGAUGUUAGGCGGAGAUAGAUAGAUUAUACCAUUCGUCAUGACCCUAUGGAUUUGGUUAGCUCUUAUGUUCAUGGUUGAGUUGGUCUAUUGUGCUAAGUUUAGUUAAUACUUGGUUAGUAGGGUCUAUGCUCUUCUACGAGUAUCACUAAUCUGUUCAAGUAGACCACACUAGAUUAGAUCACAUUAGAUUCUAUAAUCUCAUUUAAGAAUACCAUUUAGUUAAACAUAUCCAGCUGACUUUAUCUUUAUGAAAUUCUAGUAUAUUUUUUAUCUCAGUGGAACUUCCAAUUAGUAUAUUUUUUAUACCUAAAUUUUUCAUGCCAUUAACAGGUGUGGCAUAGAAAACAAGGGUACAUCAUGUCUUAGCUAUUUGGUGAGUGUUGACAUAGAAUGAGUGUACUAUGACAUAAUCGUGAUUCCUUUGGUGUCUGAAUUAGGGACCAUCGGUCGUGGUGUUUGAUGCCAUUAUCCAAGUUGGGAUAACUAUUGCGGAUACACAGGGUAGAUGGAGUAAACAGAGUUUUACUUUUGUUUUGGGAUAAAUAGGUUGGACAACCUAUAACAUAGGCUAGGUCGUGGUUCCACAGACGAGUUGGUCUAAGACACCAAUUUAGGUUUAAAAUCCCAUUUAUCGGAAUAUGGUCUAAUCUAUGUUACCAGUAUUAACUGACUUGUCUAAGUAACUUCCUUUAGAUUAGAUCAUGUCAGAUUAGGUAGGGUCUAGGUUAGGUUGGAUACAACUAGAUUAGACUAGUUUAAGUUAGAUAGAUCUACCAGGGUAGGAUAUAUAUUAUUAGGAUGUCGGAUCAUUGCUGACGUCUCCUUGCUUCCGUAAGGGGCUGCGAGCCGCCGUCGUCUUGGAGCACGCGGGGUGCCAUCAUUAGUUGUUUACCGGGGCGAGCCAGAUGGGACGUCGGUCUUGUUCCCCGUAGCCUGAGCUAGCUAGGGGUAGGGUAAUGAUGGACCCCCUGUGACGUGGUCGGUCCGAGCCUGAGGUCGGGCGAGGCGGAGGCUCCUCCGAGGUCGAGGCUGAGUCCGGGCCCGGGGGUCGGGCGAGGCGGAGUCCAUCUUCCGAGGUCAAGGCUGAGUCCGAGCCCUGGGGUCGGGCGAGGCGGAGUCCGUCUUCCGAGGUCGAGGCUGAGUCUGAGCCCUGGGGUCGGGCGAGGCGGAGCUUCCUAUGGCGCCCGAGGCUGGACUUAGCUGCUGUCAGCCUCACUCUGUCGAGUGGCACAGCAGUCGAAGCGGGGCAGGCGACGCUGUUUUCCCGUCAGGUCGGUCGGUGGAGCGGCGAAGUGACUGCGGUCACUUCGGCUCUGUCGACUGAGGAGCGCGCGUCAGGAUAAGGUGUCAGUCGAUCCUUGCAUUGAAUGCUCCUGCGAUACGGUCGGUUGACGUGGCGAUCCGGCCAAGGUUGCUUCUCCGUGAAGCCUGUCCGAGCUGGGCCUCGGGCGAGUCGAAGGUGCGUCCGUUGCUUGAGGGGACCCUCGGGCGAGACGUGGAUCCUCCGGGGUCGGCUGCCUUUGCCCGAGGCUGGGCUCGGGCGAGGCGAGAUCGUGUCCCUUGAGUGGACUGAGCCUUGACCUUAAUCGCGCCCAUCAGGCCUUUGCAGCUUUGUGCUGAUGGGGGUUACCAACAGAGAUUAGGAGUCUUGGGGGUACCCUUAAUUAUGGUCCCCGACAGUAGCCCCCGAGCCUCGAAGGGAGUGUUGGUACUCGCUUGGAGGCUUUUGUCGCACUUUUUUGCAAGGGGACCGGCCUUUCUCGGUUGCGUUUCAUUUCGGUGGGUGCGCGCAAGCGCACCCGCCGGGUGUAGCCCUCAAGGCCUCAGAGGAGUGUUUGACUCCUUCGAGGUCUUAAUGCCUUUCGUGAUGCUUCGGCCGAUCUGGUUGUUCCCUCAUGCGAACUGGUCGUAGCCCGGGUGCAUAGUCAGGUUCCAAGUUCUCGGGCUGGUAUGUUGAUGCUGUCAACGGUUUGGCCGGAGCCGGGUUUGCGAGAGCAGCCCCCGAGCCUCCGCACAGAGCGAGAGGACGGUCAAGGACAGACUCAGCUUUUUUCAUACGCCCCUGCGUCACCUUUCUGCAAGGAGGAGGGGGGAAAGCGCCAUGUUGCCCUCGGAGGGCGCCGAACAUGGCGUCUCCAGUGAGUUGCUAGCGGGUGAUCCGAGUGGACGCCAGUGCCCCGUUCGAUAAGGGUCGGCUAGUGUCCUAGAGGCGCACUCCAAAAGUACCUGCAGGUGAUUUGCCGGACCCGGUCCCGUUUGAUAGGGUCCGAGGGCUCGAUGCCUCCCUCUGAUGGGAUUCCGUUACAGAAUCGCUCCUGCUGGUCUGGGAAAUGUCCUAGGGUACCUCUGGAGCGUAGUGUGACACCCCAGUGUCACCUAGGGUUUCUCUCAAAUGCCAAACCUAGAACCAUUAUUUCAUGUGAAUCAAAGUAAGAAUGAGCAUCAAAAUAACUUAAGUAAUAAAGAAUUCACCAAGUAUAUACCUAAAAGUAUCAUGAUCAAAACAAUUGAGUCUUUGAAAAGGUAAGAAUGUGCAACCCUAAUAAAAACCCUAAGUGGGCCCUAUAAGCAAAAUGCAAGAAAAUAAGAAAAAUGGGAUAAAAAGUUUAAGAUUUUGACUUGAUCCAAUUAUAAAACUUAAAGUAUAUUUAAUGAGCAACAAGAAAGAUUGAGAAAGCUUAGCCAAAAUAACUCAAAUAAAUCCCCAAAUCAGCCCUUGAACUAUGAACCCUUAGAGAAAUUCAGAUUUCUGAAUUUCUGAAUUUCAGACCUCUUCCCAAAGAUCAUCUGCGUUCUCUGUUUUUCGAAACUCAAAGCCAGGAGAUCCAAAUAUCAAAGUUGUGCCAAAUUCCCUUGAACACAUCCUGGAAAAGUUUGAACUCAAACCAAAUUCAUUUGACACGGUUUUGGCGCAGUUUGACCUCGGGACCAGGCAUUCUGACACUGGCACCUUGGUGACGCUACAACUCCCUGUCCCUAGCCUAAAACGCGUGACGUCCAUACACAAAAGACAAAGCUUGGUCAGGUGAACAAAUCCUUCACAGCGAUCUUGCCCAAAUUCGCGAAGAUUUGCUCCCAAUCGGCGCUUGAACAUGGGCAGAGGCAACGGGAACACGUGUUCGACCGUGGCUGACACCCCCGGUUCACGCCCGUUCGCUCACCGCGCCUCCUAGUGCACGCCCGCGCGCACUCGCCGGUCCACGACCGCCCGUGCACCGCGCCGUGCCUAUAAAGCCUUCCCAGGCGCGCCCCACUCCGCCCCGCACUCACCCUCACCGGCCAGCCACUUUCCCUUAGCUCCGGCGAGCUCAAUUCCGCCCGCCAUUGCCGCCAGAGCUUCGGCCAUCGUGGCCAGCCCACUCCAGCCAUCCUCUGGGCGAGCCAGUGCUUCGGCUAGCUCCGCCAGUAGCCCGUGAAGCUUGCCAAGCCCUCGGACCCGGCCGGACUUCACCGGAGGCCCGAGAUCGACCUCACCGGACUUCGGUCUUCCGCCGCCGCGCGUGGACCGAGCUAUCCAGUGAGUCUCCGCCCAAUUCCUUGCGCUCAUAUCUUCUCUGGCACCCCAUGGACCUCUCUGACCCAUCCAAUUGAACUAUCUCGCCGUGACCAGGUCGGACUCCUCGCCGCCGACGAGCAUCCCCGCCUGCGCGCGUGGACCGACCGACUCCGGCCAUCUUCGACGGCGACCCGCACACCGUUGUGAUCCCCGAGACCUCCCCUUCAUCCUCGACCACUUCACCGGAGCAAUCUCGCCGCCGGUAAGCCCCUCCGCCCUUUCUUCCGCCGCGGUUACUGUUUAAGGUAGAAGAAGGACCUCGGGUUAGGACUUGUAGAACCCGAGGGGUUUUCUGUAACGUCAGUGACUCAUGUGAAUAGUAGCUGAAGGACUGAUUCGCGAGGAAAACUUAAAAACCCGCCAGGGACCCCAGUGCAAAGUGGAUUUCCAUUAAACCAAUUAUGUUAUUCUUUUUAAAUUGACCAGAGAACUUAGAAAACCCAUAACUUGAUGAAUUCUUCAUAAAAAGUUGUCAAACCAAUUUUGCUAGCUCCUGAAUAUUAUGAACUAUCAUUUAAAAAUGUUAAACCCUAUGCUUUCUGUUCUAAAUCUUAUAGUUUAAAAUUAAAAACAGAAACUCACCAAACCUUGUUUAAUUAAGGAAAAUUAGUUUUUCUUCUGUGUUGAACUUAAGAAAAUUUGUAGAUGUUCAAACCUCAAUUAGACACUGUUUAAAAAUAGUAGGAACCCCAGCAUUAGAAAUUAUGAUGUAGUUAUUCAUUUAAAGCUAUUUUGUCCAAAACUUAGAGAAAAUCAGAAAGGCAUUAUAAAUUAAUGAACAAUGAUUAAGAUUAUUUUUCCUAGUUUACUUAUGUAACAGAGAACCUAGGAAAAAUACAGAGACCAUUAAUUUGGACCAGUUUUAAAUUAAAAUGAUUUAUUUAGCCUUAUAUAGACUGAAAAUCAAUUAUUAGAGCAGCAAAACUAUCACCAAAAUGAAUAAUAAAAAUCCAGUGGACUUACAACCCUCAGAGCCCCACUACAAAAAUACAGAGCACCCCAGCCCAACUUUUUAAGUAAGGAAAAUAAAUACAAAGUGAUAGUAAGGCAUUUUCCAAAUAAAUCAUGAACAACCCCUAUUAAUGAGAUAAUGGGCAACCAAAAAAUUGCAAAGUCCAUGAUGAAAUAAACUACCAGAGAAAAAUGCCAACCCAUGAAAAACAAGCAAACUCAUACCAAUUGCUAAUGAUUUAAGAGAAAGGCCACUUAAUUCAAAUAAUGCAUACCACCCCUUCCUUUAAGCAAAAAGAUGCCAAACUUCAGAAUGAUUGCUCUUGCACAAAAUAAUAACCAAGAAAAAUAAGAACUCUGUUGUUUGAUGUGUUUCAAAUAUAGUGAUAGUAGAAAGCAUCUAUUUGGCUAGAAACUUGAGAAAACCAUAGAAAAAUAACUAAAAGGUAUUAAUGAUUAGAAAUUUGUAUCAAGUCAUGUUAUAACACCUAAAAGCCAGCAAAAAAAAGUUUUGGAGAAUUGCCCACUGUUAAGUAAUAGUUGUAGUUCAAAGCACCCCUUCUGCCCUAGAAUUUAAUAAUUUUGUCCAGAGAAAACUAUUCACUUUCUGAUCCCCAAAUUUUGAGACAGAGAAACAUACACCAGUACCCAGCCACUGUAAUUGUUCCAGAAUUUUUAGAAUUUUAUAAAAGCAACUUGUAGUUCAAACCUACCCCAAAACAUUAAAGAGAAUAAAAGAAAAGGGAAGAAGAAAUAAACCUCACCCCAAUAAGUCUAACUUGAGAACUUAUCAAUUCUCCCUAAGAUUUGAAAAGAAUUCAGUGGAACCCCAAAAAUAAACCUACCACUUACCUUAGCUAAGUUUGACCCAAUUUACCAAGUAUACCACCCAAGGGACUUACAUAAGUAAAGUUAACUUUGUUUAACUCAAAAGAUCAUACAACUUUAAAGUUGUAAUUUCUAGAAGCACGUAUCAUAUCAUGCAUAUACCUUACGCAUUGUAUUCAUUAGAUUGUAAUCUUGCAGACGGAGAGUACGUGCUCAUCCCCGAGCAAGGACCUGUCCAAGAGGAGGACCAGGAGCAGGCUUCAGAGGCUGCUAUUGAGGAUCUCCCCGCAGCCCCAGCAAUUGAAGGCAAGCCCCGGUUUUAUGCAUAACCGUAUUAUUAUAUGCUACUUUACUACACUUAAUGCUUGUAGGAUUGAAAUGUGCACUUAAGUGUAGGAGUUGCUUGAAACCUCUAGUUGCAUGAACUUAGGAUUCCUUUUUGAGAUGAAUACUAGUAUGCUAGGUCGAGUAGCUGCUUGCUAAUCAGGAUCUCGGUAGAAGUCGAGUGAUUUUUCUAGCACUCGCGCGAGGUCAGGAAUUGAUUGUAUUCAUCUUGAUAACGGGAUAUAUGUUAGUCUAUGGACUUGGAUCCAGGGAGGAUGCCUUGUCCAUGAGACGGGAAAAAUGAAUUAAGGAUUAAUGUGUGGAUACCUGAGUCAAGCUUUUGAACGUACUAAGCACAUGCCGGGAAAAAUGGUAACCGGUAAACCUAGUACCUGAGUGAAGUCGGGCGCGGACUUUAUCCCUCAUGCGACCUGAGACUGGGUCUCCCAUGCUAGCUAUGGUGGGUACAAGUGCGGUCACUGCACGGCGGCAGCCGGGGUCAGUGGAGCAUUGUAUGCCAAGGCGGUGAGGCCUGGACGCGAACGGGGAAUCGAUGGGGACGGUUGUCAUGUGCAGGGUCGAAGUACCCUGGCAUGCCGUGUGUUUAGAUUUACCUUGCAAGGUUAAAACUCGAUUCGAAUCGUCUGCUUCUCGCAGCUAAUGAGACUGCUUGAUUUCUUGUACUGCAUCGAGUAAGAAGUGAAAUGUGGUUACAUGAGAUAACUUGUUGAUUGAACUAAUUGAUUGUUACCAUGUAUGCUUAGAAGAGCAAAUCUAGCUAAGUUAAUGAUGAUAGAAUUGGAAAAGCUAAAAUUUGCUUUUAGAAACAGCUAGUGCUUUUGGCAAACCAAACCCCUCAGCCAAACAGCUGCUUGUGGCACACCGGUUAAGUCUAGCUGAGUAUUAGUAUACUCAGCCUUGCUUGUGGCACAAUUUUUGCAGGUACCAUUCAGGAAAUGGUUGAUGGUGUGACUUGGCCUACCACCCUGCCACCGGGUUGGACGGUCGAGUGGGAUGUUGCUCCGGCAGGAGAGGAUCAUGAGGAGUAGUGGGCUAGGCCUUGCCCAUUUCCUCAUUACCGACGACAUCGAUUAUCCGCUGCACUUUAUUUUGUGAACUUUAUUUACUACGCAAAAUCUCCGAUUUAUGUAAUAACUCAGUACUUAAUUUGAGGUUUCCUGUUUUAUUGUAUUUCUUCUGUAACUCACCUUCGAGUGAGAAUAUGGAAUUUGAUCCUGGUUAAGUGGCUCUAUCAGACUAGAUCUGAAGGACUGACGGGUUAUUCCGAUUUAAGUGUGUUACGGCCCCUGAGGCGUGACAUGGGCACUUAAGCUGGAAUAAUUCGGGUGGUUCUGCCACACGUAGCCUUGGCCUCGACCAUGUAUCGGACGUACCCAGAGUCAUCCCUCGCUCUGCGUGCUCUGAGGCGGCUGUCGAACCCUUCGGGGGCCAGCCUACGAACCCCUGAUCAGUAGUGGGCGCGGAGCCCGAGUGGCCUGAGGCGGCUGUCGAACCCAUCCGAGGGGCCAGCCUUUGAACCUCUGACUAGUGGUGGGCGUGGAGCCCGAGUGCUCUGAGGCGGCUGUCGAACCCUUCCGAGGGGCCAGCCUUCGAACCUCUGAUCAGUAGGAGGGCUCGGGGCCCGAGUGCUCUGAGGCGGCUGUCGAACCCUUCCGAGGGGCCAGCCUUCGAACCUCUGAUCAGUAGGGGGCUCGGGGCCCACUUCCUUCGCGGAGAAGGAUCCCUUUCAGAGUAUCCCCUUUCCCGGUCCCUGUAGCAAGAGAGAGAAAGGGGAAGAGAAAAAGGGAUAUGAAUUUGAACGACGUGCCGCACCUUUUUUGACGCGGUUAUUAUGGCGGAGGUGAAGCGUCGCCUGCUUCGCCUGCCAAAGGUGCCGCCUGUCCUGCCGCAGAGUUAAUGCGACAGGACGAGUGGUUCGCGGGGCAGCCAUUGUGCGUGCGCGAGCCGUUCGAGGAACGGGCGUCUUGCCUUUGAAUUUUGAAUCUCGCGGCGGGUUCGGGCGAAGUGUUGAACGGGUCUCGCCUGGGCCUUUAUAUAUUCGAGAGAGGGACCGAUGACGAUUCUUUACUCUGCUGCUCGCCUCCCACUUAGGUUUCCGCAACCUGAGGGAAUAGCCAGAGAAAGAAAACCGCGCACCUUGUCCGCUCCGCCGCCACCUCUUCUGCUUGGUGAUGGCCGACCGGGUGACCGUUGUUUCGCCGCGCGACCCGUGGCCUUUCUCCACCGUCACGGCGGACGAUCUGGAGGCCCUUGUUGCCGAUGGUUUGCUUUGUCCUCUCUCCGGUGACCCGCAGCCAGAGUGGAUUGCCCCUCCGAGCGGAGCCGCCCCGUCCCCGCCGCCGGGGUAUGUGCUGAGCUUCGUCUCUUUUCACGAGCGGGGGUUCGGAGUGCCGACAAGUCGUUUCAUGCGGGUGAUUCUGCACGUCUACGGGGUGGAGCUGCACAAUCUCAGUCCCAACUCCAUCGCGCAAGCAGCCAUCUUCGCGGCGGUUUGCGAAGGGUUUUUGGGGAUUGCCCCCCACUGGGACCUGUGGACCCAUCUCUUCUCCGCGGAGCUUUUUGCCUCGACGAUGGGGGAAAGAAGAGUUCGCAUGGCGGUGCGGGCUGGUGGCUGCAUCCUCCAGUUGAGGCAGGCGCGGAUGCAACAGUACAUCCCUGCCAUCCUCGUGUCUUCGAACAAGGGGUGGCAGCGCCGAUGGUUUUAUCUCCGGAAUGACGACGGGAGGCUCCCGUCGUUUUCUCAAUGAGUGGUGACCGCCGCCGGCGGUAACUAGCGCUACAGGGCCCCGCGCGAGAAACAGAAGAAUCUCCAGCCCCUUUUGAAGGCCUUGGAGGAGCUGCGAGAAGGAGGGCUCACCGCCGUGGGGGUGGUUGCCGCCAUUCAUCGCCGGAGGGUGCUCCCCUUAACGGAGCGGCGGCUGCCGCUUUGGGAGAUGACGCCGGGGGUCGACUUGGAGGAUUUGCAGAUGUCCUCGGUCCCCCUUCCCGCCGAUGACCUCCACAGGCGGGUAGCCGGCACGGUAGGGAGGUUAGACACCGGCGCCCUUACCCAGCUCUCGAUGCGUCCCGAUCGCGGGUGUGUGUCCCUGGUGAGUGUCCGCUCCUUCUUCCUUCUUGUGUCGGAUUGCCCUUGGUUCUCAUAGCCGAGACUUUUCGUCCGUCUCCAGGAGGUGGGGUUUCACAAGCCUUCCCUGCCACCGGUCCCAGAGGACGCGGUGGACCGAGCCGCGCGGAGGGUCGCCGCGGAGAAGAGGAAGGAGAAGAAGGACGUGAAAAAGGCUCGGGCCCGCGAGCGGAUGCGGGCUCGGGAUGCCUUGGAGAGGCUUCGUCGUUGGCAGGAGAGGGAUGGGCUCCUGAGGGAGCCGUCGCCGGAGACGCCCGACGAUGACGAUGACGACGACGAUGACGAUGAUGAAGACGACGACAUGGCUGCCCGCCUCGGCCUCAGCCCGGAUCUGAGGCUGGGCCAGGGGUCGUCGAGCCAGCCCCCGAGUGGGCUGGCACCGUCGGUAUCCAGGGCCAGGACGUCGGGGUCCCGGUCCGAAGAACGGGGGCAGGCCGAGGGGGUACUUGACCCCUUGGCCGAGGUAGUUGAGGUGACCCCGGGGAGUCAGGCCGACCCGCCUAUUCCCCAAGAGCCGUUGCCCGUGCCGACUGCAUAGGAGGGUGAUCCUCGGGUCGUCGUGGCUGCCCCUGGGCGGUCCGUCCCUCUGGUGCCUCGGGCGCCUAAGGCAAGGAUGGUGCUGAAGCCGGCAGCGGGGCUAACCUUGGUGGUACCCUCGGGGACCGAGGCUCGAGGGACCUCCCCGCAGGCACGAUUGGUCGUGGCCCGGAGUGGGUAAGUAUCUGAGGAUACCUUUGUCCCGGCUCCUUCUUCGUGUGUCCUGAUCCUGCUCUUCCCUUUCUUCCUAGCAAACGGAGGCACGAUUCGACCGGUCUGGCUCCCCUGAAGGUCCUUAAGACAGCAUCGGCUUCUGCAGCUAGUGUCGCGUCGGGCCUUGUCGGCCAGCUGGCCUCCUCACAAGAUGCCCCAAAGCGGGGGGCUCAAGCAGCACAAGCUGCCGUGGGGCGAGCUCCCGAGGCUGACCCCUCCGUCGAGGCGGCCGUCGUGCCGAGGGAGACUGCUGGCGCGGCUGCGGCCUCGAGCCCACCAGACGUGUUGGCGGUGUUGGCACCGGCUGCUGCCGAGGUUGUUGUCGUUCUGGCCGUGGAGCCGCCCGUCGCCGCCGAUGCUGAGAUGGCCGAGGCGCCGCUACUCGAUGCCUCGGAGGAGGGGGGCGCAGAACCGCGACCCAUCCUGGGGAGCGGCAACCUCGUCCUCGCGCGGUGCAGUCCUGACGGGCGGCGUCAGUCGCUCUGGUUCUGGACCAGUGGUGCUUCGGAUCCCCUCUUCGUUCUUGACGAUGAGCGAGAGGAGCAGUCUUGGGACAGGCUUCGUGAGUGUGCCGAGGCAACGGUGGUGUCGCUUCGGUCGACCUUGGAGGUCCUUUGCAGGGACGUUCCCAAGGUCCUCCAGGUAAGGAUUUCAUGCAUACCUUUCACGUGAUCAAGGCAUUCUUUGUGACGUCCCGCUUCCUUUCCUCAGGAUCUGACGGAUCUGAGCGCCGCCAAGUCAUCAUUCAUCCGCCGUGAGGCCGAUGUCUGGGGUUCGUUGCGGUUCCUGAGGACCACGCUUGCCGAGGCUACCGAGCGCCUCUCCCAAUGGAGACCGAGGUGGCGGACCUUCGGUUGCUCUGUGUCGAUCUGGGAGCGGAGGCAACGGCGGCACGUGCAGAGGCGCAGCGGCAACAGUUGGAGCUUGUCCAGGUCAUCGGUGAGCGGGACCAAUCUCGGGGCCGGGCCGCCGAGGCUGAAAGCCAGGCUGAGGCCCUUGGAGACCAGCUAGCCGAGGCGUCUACUCGGGCCGGAGCCCUUGCGGAAGACCUAGCCGUGGCCCAAGCCGCAUCCUCGGAGCAGCGUGCCCGAGCCGAAGGUAUGUCUUGGCUGUUUUAAGAUUUUGAUUCAGCUUUAUUCUUCAACUCGUGUUUGAAGACUUCUGCUUUGGCUGUUUGCAGAGCUCGAGUCUGCCCUCGAUGAGUCCACCAAGGCACUUGCCCAGGCGGCCGAGCAGAGGCAGGCCGACCACAUGGCCAUGUCCGAGGCUAUCUCGUCCUUCUGUCGGGUCUUUGGUCUCGACGACGUCCCCUCGGGGAGCUCCCCUCAGAGUCGCCUGCGGGCCUUGGGUGACUACGCACGCGACAGACUCCGCGAGGCGCUGCAUCACGAUGUCAGGCGGGCCUUCGCCGUGCUCGCUUCCCACUACGACGUGGAUCUGUAGCGGGUCAGCGAGGGGUAUUGCCUUCCUGACGAAGAUGAAGCUGCCCUGGCCGAAGUCUAGAGGUUUGAUGUGGCCGCCGCGGGCCCAAGCGCGGUGCUGGCGACCACCUUCGAAGCAGAGAUCCUUCCGCUUGCGCCGUUGUCCGAGGCCGGGGCGGAUCUCGACGAGGGUGGAAACGAAGCCGAGGGCGUGGCUCCUUCUCUAGGCGACGCCUGAUUCUGUCGGAGCAGUUUAUUUUGAAUGCGUAUGUGUCUUUUGCGGCCACCGAGGCCCGAAUACUUUGUCGUCGUAAUAUAAAGAUGUGUCUCUUUUCCUCCUGUUUUGCGUAUCCGGACUCGUUCGUCAGUAGCAGGAUUGCUUACCCAUGUAAGAGUUAUUUUUCACGGUAGGUGACGAGUGAGGUAUCCGUAUCCCGGAGGCGUAGGAGUCCCUCGGCUCAGUCGGCCUUGCCACUUACAUGCACUCUUAUUCGUUUCUCGGGGUCCUGUUACUGAUAUAGCCGGGAGACAUGAAAGUCGUUUUGGUGGAAGACUUCUUUUGAGGAAAAUUUUGACGCAGAGGUGGUUCGCCCCUUCUAGCCCCCGAGGGAGGGUCGGGCUUUGCCGAGGCAAGGCUGACCCUUCCUUGAUGGUUAGUCUUUGUAUGUAAGCGAGGUAUAUGAACGACUUGAAAAACAUCUUAAGGGUAGAAGCGACAUAGCUGUCGGAUGUUCCAAGCGUUGCUGUAGACCUCGCCUUGACUGUUGGCCAGCUUGUAUGUUCUGGGCUUCAAAAUCUUGGCAAUGAUGAAUGGCCCUUCCCAGGGAGGCGUGAGCUUGUGGCGCUCUCGGGCGUCUUGUCGUAGCCGAAGCACCAACUCGCCCACCUGGAGGUCUCGGGACCGAACCCCUCGGGCGUGGUAGCGUCGCAGGGACUGCUGAUACCGCGCCAAGUGUAGUAAGGCCAUGUCCCGAGCCUCUUCCAGCUGGUCCAGUGAGUCUUCUCGGUUGGUUCGGUUGCUUCGGUCGUCGUACGCCCUCGCCCUCGGGGAUCCGUAUUCCAAGUCCGUGGGCAAGAUGGCCUCGGCCCCAUAGACUAGAAAGAACGGCGUGAAGCCCGUUGCUCGGCUCGGCGUUGUCCUCAGACUCCAGACCACCGAAGGGAGUUCCUUCAUCCAUCGCCUGCCGAACUUGUUGAGGUCAUUGUAGAUCCGCGGCUUGAGUCCUUGCAGAAUCAUGCCGUUGGCACGCUCUACUUGCCCAUUCAUCAUGGGGUGAGCUACGACGGCCCAGUCCACCCGGAUGUGGUGAUCCUCGCAGAAGUCCAGGAACUUUCUGCCGGUGAACUGGGUGCCGUUGUUGGUGAUGAUGGAGUUCGGGACCCCAAAGCGAUGGAUGAUGUUGGUGAAGAACGCCACCGCCUGUUCAGACCUGAUGCUGUUUAGGGGUCUGACCUCGAUCCACUUGGAGAAUUUGUCGAUAGCGACCAUCAAGUGCGUGUAGCCCCCGGGUGCCUUCUGCAAGGGACCGACGAGGUCCAGACCCCACACAGCAAACGGCCAGGUGAUGGGUAUUGUUUGCAGAGCCUGAGCGGGCAGGUGGGUCUGCUUUGCAUAGAAUUGACACCCUUGGCAGGUGCGUACAAUCCUAGUGGCGUCGGCCACCACAGUUGGCCAGUACAAACCCUGCCGGAAUGCGUUUCCAACGAGGGCCCAAGGUGUUGUGUGGUGACCGCAAGCCCCCGAGUGUAUUUCUUGUAAUAACUCUUGACCUUCGGCGAUGGAUAUGAAUCGCUGGAGGAUGCCUGAGGGACUGCGGUGGUAGAGCUCCUUCCCGUCACCCAGCAAGACGAACGACUUGGCGCGCCGCGCCAAUUGCCGAGCUUCGGCUCUGUUGAGGGGUAGCUCUCCUCGGUGGAGAUAUUGCAGGUACGGGGUCUGCCAGUUUCGAUUAGGUGGGACCCCAUUCCGCUCUUCCUCGACGUGCAGUGCCUCACCCUCGGCGGUCGAGGGUGCCUCGGGCUGAGCCGAGGGCACCUCGGGCAGGGCCGAGACCUUCUCGGGCUCGGGCGUGUCAUCGAUCUUGACUAAGGGUUGAUGUAGGUCUUUGGAGAAGACGUCCGGAGGGACCGUUGUCCGCCCCGAGGCUAUCUUAGCCAGCUCGUCCGCGGUCUCGUUGUAUCGUCGGGCGAUGUGGUUGAGUUCGAGCCCGAAGAACUUGUCCUCCAGGCGCCGAACCUCAUCGCAGUAGGCUUCGAUCUUCGGGUCGCGGCAAUGGGAGUUCUUCAUGACUUGGUCGAUGACAAGCUGCGAGUCGCCGCGAGCGUUGAGGCGUCGGACCCCUAGCUCGACGGUGAUACGCAACCCGUUAACCAGAGCCUCGUACUCGGCCAUGUUGUUGGACACCGGGAAAUGGAGGCGCAGCACGUAGCAGAGGUGCUUCCCGAGGGGUGAGACGAAGAGCAGGCCCGUGCCCACUCCUGUCUUCAUCAGCGACCCGUUGAAAAACAUGGUUCAGAGUUUCGGUUGGAUUGGAGCUGCUGGAAGCUGGGUGUCGACCCAUUCAGCCACAAAGUCCGCCAAGACUUGGGACUUGAUGGCCUUCCGAGGGGCGAACGAGAUUGUCUUGCCCAUGAUCUCCACCGCCCACUUUGCAAUCCUACCCGAGGCCUCUCGGCACUGGAUGAUCUCUCCCAGGGGGAAGGAUGACACCACAGUCACCGGAUGAGACUCGAAGUAGUGUCGCAACUUUCGCCGCGUCAGAAUUACCGCGUAUAGUAGCUUCUGAAUUUGCGAGUAGCGGAUUUUGGUCUCGGACAGUACUUCACUGAUGAAGUAGACCGGCCUCUGGAUGGGCAAUGCGUGCCCCUCUUCUCGUCUCUCGACCAUGAUCGCGGCGCUGACCACAUGAGUGGUAGCGGCGACGUAGAUCAAGAGGGCUUCUCCAGCAGCGGGGGGCACCAAGAUGGGCGCGCUUGUAAGGAGCGUCUUUAGGUUCCCGAGGGCUUCCUCGACCUCGGAGGUCCAAGUGAAGCGCUCGGUCUUCCUUGAGAGGCGGUACAGAGGUAGGCCUCUUUCGCCGAGGCGCGAGAUGAAGCGGCUCAGAGCCGCAAGGCAUCCCAUAACCCUCUGUACUCCUUUCAAGUCCUUGAUGGGCCCCAUGUUGGUGAUGGCCGCGAUUUUCUCCGGGUUGGCCUCGAUGCCCCGCUCGGAGACGACGAACCCCAGGAGCAUGCCUCGGGGGACUCCGAAGACACACUUCUCGGGAUUGAGUUUUACGCCUUUCGCCUUGAGACACUUGAAUGUCGUUUCAAGGUCGGAGAGGAGGUCAGAGGUCUUCCUCAUCUUGACUACGAUGUCAUCGACGUAAGCCUCGACCGUUCGGCCAAUGUGUUCUCUGAACACGUGGUUCAUGCACCUUUGGUAUGUUGCACCCUCAUUCCUCAAACCGAAUGGCAUAGUAAUGUAGCAGUACAUGCCAAAGGGUGUGAUGGAAGAAGUCGCGAGCUGGUCGGACUCUUUCAUCCUGAUUUGGUGAUACCCUGAGUAGGCAUCGAGGAAAGACAGGGUUUCGCACCCAGCAGUGGAAUCCACGAUUUGAUCAAUGCGAGGCAAAGGGUAGGGAACCUUCGGAGAUGCUUUGUUUAGACCAGUGUAGUCUACACACAUCCGCCAUUUCCCUCCUUUCUUUCUCACAAGCACAGGGUUGGCAAGCCAUUCGGGAUGGAAUACCUCUUUGAUGAACCCUGCAACCAUUAGCUUGUGGAUCUCCUCGCCUAUGGCUCUGCGCUUUUCUUCGUCGAAUCGGCGCAGAGGCUGCUUCACGGGUCGGGCUCCAGCUCGGAUAUCCAGCGAGUGCUCGGCGACAUCCCUCGGUAUGCCAGGCAUGUCCGAGGGGCUCCACGCAAAAACUUCGGCGUUUGCACGGAGAAAGUCGACGAGCACUGCUUCCUAUUUGGGGUUGAGCUCGGAGCCGAUCCGGAUCUACUUGGAGGCGUCGUUGCUGGGGUCGAGAGGGACAGACUUAACCGUCUCAGCUGGCUCGAAGUUGCCGGCGUGGUGCUUCGCAUCUGGCGCCUCCUUGGAGAGGCUCUCCAGGUCGGCGAUGAGGGCCUAGGAUUCGGCGAGGGCCUCGACGUACUCCACGCACUCCACGUCGCAUUCGUACGCGUGUCGGUACGUGGAGCCGACGGUGAUGACCCCGUUGGAGCCUGACAUCUUGAGCUUGAGGUAGGUGUAGUUGGGGACAGCCAUGAACUUGGCGUACCAUGGCCUCCCCGGCACUGCGUGGUAGGUUCCUCGGAACCCGACCACCUCGAACGUGAGGGUUUCCUUUCGGAAGUUGGAGGGAGUCCCGAAGCAUACGGGCAGAUCGAGUUGCCCGAGGGGUUGGACGAGGGGAUGAUCCCGUGAAAAGGCGCCGCGCCGGCCCUGAUUGAGGACAGAUCGAUCUGCAGGAGCCCGAGGGUCUCGGUGUAGAUGAUGUUGAGGUUGCUGCCUCCAUCCAUGAGGACCUUGGCGAGCCUGACGUUGCCGAUGACGGGAUCGACAACGAGCGGGUACUUUCCUGGGCUCGGCACGCGGUCGGGGUGGUCACCCUGGUCGAAGGUGAUGGGCUUGUCCGACCAGUCUAGGUAGACUAGCGCCGCCACCUUUACCGAGCAGACCUCCCGGCGCUCUUGCUUGCGGUGCCGAGCCGAGGCGUUCGCCACAUGCCCACCGUAGAUCAUGAAGCAGUCGUGGACCUCGGGGAACUCCUCUGCCUUGUGAUCCUCCUUCUUAUCGUUGUUGUGGGCUCGGCCACAUUCCGCCGGUGGCCCGACCCUGUGGAAGUAGCGCCGAAGCAUGACGCACUCCUCAAGGGUGUGCUUGACGGGACCCUGAUGAUAGGGGCACGACUCCUUGAGCAUCUUGUCGAACAGGUUGGCGCCUCCGGGAGGCUUCCGAGGGUUCCUGUGCUCGGCGGCGGCGAUAAGGUCUGCGUCGGCGGCGUCGCGUUUCGCUUGUGACUUCUUCUUGCCCUUCUUCCUCUCUUCCGGCUGGCGCCCCUGAGGCUGCUUGUCCUUCCGGAAGAUGGCCUCGAUCGCCUCCUGACCAGAGGCGAACUUGGUGGCGAUGUCCAUCAGCUCGCUCGCCCUGGUGGGAGUCUUGCGACCCAGCUUGCUCACCAGGUCGCGGCAAGUGGUGCCGGCGAGGAAAGCGCCGAUGACGUCCGAGUCGGUGAUGUUGGCCAGCUCGGUGCGCUGCUUCGAAAAUCGCUGGAUGUAGUCCCUCAGGGACUCUCCCGGCUGCUGGCGGCAGCUUCGGAGAUCCCAGGAGUUUCCAGGGCGCACGUAUGUGCCCUGGAAGUUGCUGGGGAAGGCUUUGACCAGGUCGUCCCAGUUGGAGAUCUGCGCAGGAGGCAGAUGCUCCAGCCAGGCUCGGGCGGCGUUGGAGAGGAAUAGGGAAAGUUGCGGAUGAUGAGAUUGUCAUCGUCCGUCCCACCCAGUUGGCAGGCCAGCCGGUAGUCCGUGAGCCACAGCUCCGGCUUUGACUCCCCCGAGUACUUGGUGAUGGUAGUCGGGGUUCGGAACCGGGUCGGGAACGGUGCCCGUCGUAUGGCCCGGCUGAAAGCUCGCGGACCGGGUGGUUCGGGCGAGGGGCUCCGAUCCUCCCCGCUGUCGUAGCAUCCCCCAUGCCUGGGGUGGUAGCCUCGGCGCACCUUCUCGUCGAGGUGGGCUCGACGGUCGCGGCGGUGGUGCUCGUUGCCGAGGCGACCCGGGGCCACAUGCGCUGAGUUCCGCGUUCGCCCCGUGUGGACCGAGGCUUCUCGCAUGAAUCGGGAAGCCGCGGCGCGAUGCUCCGGGGGGUACCCCUGCCUUCGGGAGGCAGAGCUCUCGGCCCGUUGGACCGCGGCAUCUUCCAGGAGAUUCUUGAGCUCUCCCUGGAUACGCCGCCCCUCGGUGGUGGAUGGUUUCGGCAUCGCUCGGAGUAGUAUCGCUGCUGCAGCCAGGUUCUGGCCGACCCCACUGGAAGCCGGGGGCAGCCUUGCCCUGGCAUCGUCGGCGAUGCAGUGCUGGACGUCCUGGGCCAGAUGACGCGCUUCUCCGGCCGGUACUCGGCCUGCCCACUCCUACCCGAUAUUUUGCCGAAACUGCACAAGUUGUCCUGCUUCUUCGUCGAGCCUGGCCUGUACCUCGCGGAUUUGCUCGAGCUGUGCGUCCUGACCCCCCGCAGGGACUGGGACCACAGCUAGCUCUCAAAGGAUGUCAACGCGAGGCGUAGGCCUAGGGGGAUCACCGUCCUCCGGCAUACCAAGAUGGUUGCCUUCGUCGAGACCCCCUAGAUCGACGUGAAAGCAUUCGCGACUUGGGCCACAGUCCUCGUCGCCGAGGCUGUGGCUGCUAUCGGAGCAAUCAGAGAGGCAGUAGUCACAUGCGGUCAUGAAGUCCCGCAUGGCACUGGGGUUAUCGAGCCCGGAGAAAUCCCAACCAGAGUCGGGCUCGUCAUCUUCCUCGGAACCCAGAGGUCUGUAGGUCGAGACGGCCGUCAACCGGUCCCAGGGUGACUGCAUAUGAUACCCAGGAGGGUUUGGACAUGCCUUUAUGAAAGCGUCUACCGAAGCGGGGUCGCUUGGUGGGUCGCAGCUAAAUCUAAAAGGCAUGGGACGGGAAACGGACGGUACCUCUCGAUCGACGUGCGGUGACGAAGUCACGUCGGGGACGGACUGCACCGUUGUCUCAGGUACGAGGCUGACACCCAGCAAGUCCUUCGCGAGCGUGCUGGCGUCGUCCGUCUGCUUGGGGUUGGCAUGUUGCGGGGAAACGACGCUCGUCUUCGUCUCAGACGCGAUGUCAACGCCCGACGUGUCCCCCGUUGGGGCGCCGGCGUCGUCGACUCGCUCGACAGCCGACGAGGUGUCGCGUCCUGCUUGGCCAUGCCUGCCCCGCCUCCUCCUCUGUCGGCGGGGAAGGUGACGGGACAGACCCGGAUGUUGCUCUUCCGUCACGUGGGGAAGACGUCGUUAAUUCCGCCGCCGGCGGGCGGGCUGACGGCCGCCAUUGUCGUUGUCGCGCGGCGGAGGAAGGAGUAUCAUGUCGUAGCUGCCGUCGAGGGACAUGAACUCAAGACUCCCGAAACGAAGCAUCGUCCCGGGUUGGAGAGGUUGCUGGAGACUGUAAUACCCAAAAUUAUAAAUCAAAUAAAAGGAGGUAGUCAUUCCUAAAUAAUAUUCCUCCCUUAUGAUAUCAUAUGUGAAUGACCUUAUUUAAGUGAGUACUUAAAGUAAUGCCAUCUAAAAAAAUAUAAUUUGUGCAUCAUGCCGAGGUUUAUUUGUUUGUGCAUUCACUCAUGAAGACAGUGAUAAUAGAAAAAAAACAAAAGUGAAAAUGUGCAUUAAACCAAAUUUGGAGUUUGGAUUUUGAGUGUGUUUUCUGAUUAAUUUGAAGUUUAAAUUUGAAUCUAGAAUAAAAAUUGAAUUUGAAAAUGUUCAGAAUAAAUAGAAAUGGGUACAGAAUUGCAUGUAAUGUAUUCCCUUGUUUAUUUACCAUAUAAAACUUCCAUGAUCAAGUGAUUAACUCAAUUAAAAAUAUGAGAAACCAAAUAAAUUUGUGCACAUCAUACUGAUAUUUGGUUGGUGUGGCAUUUUGUUUGGAAUUCAAGGAUCAAAACCUUAACUGAAUUUUAAAAUAAUGGAAAUACAAACUGAAAAGAAAAUACAAGAAUGAGAACUCCCAGCCGGCCUCACCUUUUUCGUUUUUUUUUCUUUUCAUUUCUUUUUUUCCCUCUGGCCGGCCAUGCGCAUGCGCUACACUGUUGGAGAAUCUUUCACAGGAGCGCUGCAUGCGGAACCUCGAGGUCCUCCUCACGCACCAGCCAUUUCCUCCACUCGCUACGGAGUCUGUGGUGCAUGCGCUCGCCUCUUCUCUUGCGCAUUGCCCAGUAUACAGGUUCAUGCGUGAUGCCGCCCGGUGGACCCCUCCCCAUCUCGCAUGCAUCGUCUCCGCCGCGAAGCCGCGCGUAACUGAAUUAGCGUCUUUGCGGGGUCCGCUCGGCUGUGAAACUGAACCCCGCUUUAGCCGCCUGGGCGCUCACCUGGUCCGUUCGGUAGAUGAGGUCUACCGUGAUUCUCGGACGUCAGCUCACCCUGCGGCUAUAAAGCCAUGCCAUCUCCCCAGCGAUCACCCCCAUGGCGAGCACUCUGCAGAGCCUGGGCUUCUUCGUCGUACGCCGGCGUCCCUGCUAGUGCCUGCCGUUGAACUCUCCGGCCACCAUUGAUCCGACCUCCCCUAAGCCAUCGAUGAGUAGAGAAAAACAGUGAACGCCACCUCUGUACUCGCCCCACCUUAUGGCGCGUCGCUCCUGCAGUACCGGCCCACGCUCUGCGCGGCGCUCAGGUGUUACGGCUGCCCUCAAAUCCGUCGUCGGACCAUUGGCACUGGGGCAAGCAAAAGCACGGACAGGUGCUCGGCGUGCUGCAACGGCUUCCGAUUUGCCCGGCUAGAUGAAAGACGGCUGGGGAGCAUCUUCUCUGGGGAACACCGCGCGUCAUGGGUGCCUUGCCGAAGUUCAGGGACGGCGUGAUUGCUCAUCGUCGUUCAUGCUCCACCGUGGCGCCACCCAUCUCCGUGGGCAGUGGGCUGCAUCGUCCAAUCGACCGGUGAGUGGCCUGUAACGAGUUCGUUGUGCUCUCGGCUUCAUAUUUCCAUCAACCAACAUCAGAAAUCGCGUGUGUUGCACCAAGAUUGGUCCUCUCUAGUCCUGGCUACCACCGUGGUGGCUCUGUGCGCCGCCGAAUAGAUGACCAGGGGAGGAAGAAAGGGGUGAGUCCGUUGGAUUUCGAUCCAGCGACUAAUAUUAGAUCGGGUUAAAAUUAGAUGUGGUUCGUUCGAUCUAAAUGGACGGGCGGGAUUUUAAGUAGCAUCCCCUUCGCUUGAUUAAAUCAUAGCCGUCGAAGUUCGAUCUGGCGGCCGCGAGGUGAAUUGCGCGCGUUAAACCGAGACCCUUGGAUUUAGAUCCGAUGGUUUAGAUCGCAUUCCGGAUCGGCUGAUUGCGGAUCUAAUCCUAGCGGCCAGAUGUUGAUCGUGCGGCCAGGAACGCAGAAUACCCCUUCGCCGUGCCUAUUUGAUAAAGAGUCCCUGGACUUCUUAGUAAUAAACCCGCGGUCCACAGUGGCUGUGCGCUGAGUCUAGUAAUUCUUGCGUAGAGACCCCUAUAUUUAUCUGUUUUUGUGCGCGCAGUCCAAACAGAGAUUAAAUCAGGAAAUUAAUUUAAGAAAUGAAUUUUUAAUAUGAAAACAAUUCCAGAACUUGUAAAAUUCAUAUAAAAUUUAUUUUAACUCAUUUUUAACCCAUUCCAGUUCCUAUAAUUUGGUAAUAUUAUUGUUUAUCACCUAGUGCCACUGUUUUAGCAUGAAAACUAUAUUAAAUUUGAUCACCUAGUUAUUCUCGUACCAAACACAUAAAAUCUUCAAAAAAUCGUAACUUCUCCGUUUUGAUUCCGAUUUGUUCCGUUCCAGUUGCGUUAGUCUCAUAGAAACGCGUAGAUCAUUAUUAUUCAGUAUAUUCUUAUGUUUGGUGUAAUGUUAAUUUUAUCUAUACCAUGUUUGUUUGUAUUGCUACGACUAGCGCGAGGACACGUGUCAUCUGAAAAGCAAGUUGGUACCUGAAAUCUCAAGUGCCAGGCAAGUUGUGCCCUUGAUCACUUCUUUUACCCACUCAUGUUCUAAUUAAUCAUAAUGAUCUGCAUAGGUUAAUUUUGAUGGGACCUAAUAGGAUACCCUAGUUUGUCUAUCUUUAUGCCUUGUUUACCACUGAACUUUUUGGGUAGUACUUGCUAGUGCUAUAUGUGGUUUUGGGCAUUGAGAUACACAUUAUUCAUGAUUAUACUUUUGUUAUCCGUUGUUAUUUACUGUUCAUGUCAAGAUCAUUAAUGUUAAUUGGAACAUAGAGCUUAACUUGAGAAACACGUGCCACCACAAGGGUUUAUGGACGCCCUUGGCUGAUUAAUUAGGAAAGCUAGUGGAGGACUACCUUACCCGAAAGGGGCAAGGGCAGUAGGGGAGUGGUCAGUGUAGGGAGGCCCUCGGGAGGAUUUUGCUGCGAUGGCGGUCCUGCAAGGGAUUCCUGCAUUGGAGCUUCCCAUAAACUGUAGCGGGUUUUCUGAAGCUAGUGGAACUUUGUAAAGGCCUCGUAGUGUUACCCUGCCUCGCCUCCUCGGUAGAGGUGUAUGGGAAGUCGCGAUCCCUUGGCAGAUGGGUAACAUGACUUGUGGGUAAAGGGUACCACCUCUGCAGAGUGUAAAACUGGUAUACUAGCCGAGCUCACGGUCAUGAGCAGCUCAGGACUCUCUGAUGAUUAAUCUAUGGAACUUAAAUUCAAUUUGUCAUAUGCAUUGCAUCGCAGGUGAUGUUGUUACUUCUGUUCUACUACUUAAUUGGGUUGGUAUUUACUUAUACUUAGUAAUUGCUAAUAAAAUUUUGACCAACUUUAAAAGCAAUGCUCAGCUUCAACCAUCUCUGUUGGUAAGCCUUACACUUCACGUGAGCUCCCACCUUUGGCGAGUUCAUGCACAUUAUUCCCCACAACUUGUUGAGCGAUGAACGUAUGUGAGCUCACUCUUGCUGUCUCACACCCCCCCACAGGUCAAGAUCAGGUACUGCAGGAUGAGGCGCAUGGUGGAUGCUGUGAUGAGUUCGUGAGUGGUCUAGGCCGUCGUCUCCCAGUCAACUUUGGUUUGCUGGACCGUUGUCUCCUUAUAAUGUAAUUAUUUAUUUUGUAUAUAACUCCGAUUAUAUAGUAAAGAUGUGACAUUCGAUCCUGUGCCAUGAUUCAUCAUAUGUGUGAGACUUGGUCCCAGCACACCUGGUGAUUAUGUUCGCGCCCGGGCUUUGGACCCCUAAAACCCGGGUGUGACAGAAGUGGUAUCAGAGGAAUGUUGACUGUAGGACAAAACCUAGAUAGAACUGGACAACCAUUGUCUACUUACCUUUGCUACUCUGAUCUUUUCUAAACUUUCCUUAAUAUUUUCUCAUAUAUUUCCGCUUUACUCUGAUUAUUUUUACCUUUCUUUCUAAAAGACAAAUGUGGAUUUCACACUUUGAAAUCCUGUGCAUAAAAUGACCUUUAGGAAUAGGAGACCUAAUCUUAGGGACAAAAGCAAAACUAUUUUGUAGAUAUUGGUAUGCUUGAGUGUUUGUUCUUAUGAUACUUGUCUGAUUUGGAUCUUUGAUUGAGUGGGAUGAAUUGUGGAGUAGUGUCCACAAUUGCAUCUACAUAUACUUAGGCAUAUAUAUAAUUAAUCAAACUUAGAUUGUCCCUCAUUAAAAAAAAUGUAUCUAGCUUAAUAGAUCCACCUUAUUUUAAAAGAUACUCGCUUACCUAAAUAAAUUCAUCUUAUCUUGAAAAGAUUUAUCUUAUCCUAAUAGAUCUAUAUGACCUCAAAAGAUUCUACCUUAUCCUUAUGGAUUCAUCUUACCCCAAUAAGCAUAUUUAUCCCACGCUAGUGUAACAACCAUGAUCUAGCCUAAAAUAAAUAAGAUCUUAUCUAGUCAAACUAGUAACACCAAUCUAACCUAGAUCUGAUCUAAUCUAAAGUGACUUAUCAAACAUGUUAGAUAAUACUGAUGAAAUAGAUUAGACUCUACUCCUAUAGAACGGGUCUUACCUUAGUUCACCUUGCACUAAAUUAAGAAUGACAGAUCGACUUGGCCAAAUGCAACUACCAUCCAAUAGUUGCAUAACCCCACAAUUUUAACCUAGCAAGAGAUUCUAACCUACCUACACCAUACAAUCCAUCCUACUCACAUAUGUCCUAGCCAUAUGUCCUCGGAAGACAACUCCAAGAAAUAAAGGCCAAAGAAGACCAACCAUGUCAAAGAAGGAUAAGCAUCAACUCAAGACUUCAAAGAUCAAGUUGAAUCGCCAGCGGAAUCAAGAUCCAUAGUUUAGGAUGAAGUCUUUCCUUAUUAUCCCCUUGCCACAACCUCUACUUGCCAUAACCGUACCUGACCUAAUGAAUAUCUAAACAUACAAUAUUCAUAUCAUCUACUAACUGUUAAAAAAAAACUUGAACAAAACUUUGAUUCCCAAAACCAAAUGAGAAACUAAAAUUCUAGACCAAACCUAUUAUAUCCCUUUUCUUACAAAUCUCGAGGACGAGAUUAUUUUUAAGGGGGGUAGGAUUUGUAAUACCCAAAAUUAUAAAUCAAAUAAAAGGAGGUAGUCAUUCCUAAAUAAUAUUCCUCCCUUAUGAUAUCAUAUGUGAACGACCUUAUUUAAGUGAGUACUUAAAGUAAUGCCAUCUAAAAAAAUAUAAUUUGUGCAUCAUGCCGAGGUUUAUUUGUUUGUGCAUUCACUCAUGAAGACAGUGAUAAUAGAAAAAAAACAAAAGUGAAAAUGUGCAUUAAACCAAAUUUGGAGUUUGGAUUUUGAGUGUGUUUUCUGAUUAAUUUGAAGUUUAAAUUUGAAUCUAGAAUAAAAAUUGAAUUUGAAAAUGUUCAGAAUAAAUAGAAAUGGGUACAGAAUUGCAUGUAAUGUAUUCCCUUGUUUAUUUACCAUAUAAAACUUCCAUGAUCAAGUGAUUAACUCAAUUAAAAAUAUGAGAAACCAAAUAAAUUUGUGCACAUCAUACUGAUAUUUGGUUGGUGUGGCAUUUUGUUUGGAAUUCAAGGAUCAAAACCUUAACUGAAUUUUAAAAUAAUGGAAAUACAAACUGAAAAGAAAAUACAAGAAUGAGAACUCCCAGCCGGCCUCACCUUUUUCGUUUUUUUUUCUUUUCAUUUCUUUUUUUCCCUCUGGCCGGCCAUGCGCAUGCGCUACACUGUUGGAGAAUCUUUCACAGGAGCGCUGCAUGCGGAACCUCGAGGUCCUCCUCACGCACCAGCCAUUUCCUCCACUCGCUACGGAGUCUGUGGUGCAUGCGCUCGCCUCUUCUCUUGCGCAUUGCCCAGUAUACAGGUUCAUGCGUGAUGCCGCCCGGUGGACCCCUCCCCAUCUCGCAUGCAUCGUCUCCGCCGCGAAGCCGCGCGUAACUGAAUUAGCGUCUUUGCGGGGUCCGCUCGGCUGUGAAACUGAACCCCGCUUUAGCCGCCUGGGCGCUCACCUGGUCCGUUCGGUAGAUGAGGUCUACCGUGAUUCUCGGACGUCAGCUCACCCUGCGGCUAUAAAGCCAUGCCAUCUCCCCAGCGAUCACCCCCAUGGCGAGCACUCUGCAGAGCCUGGGCUUCUUCGUCGUACGCCGGCGUCCCUGCUAGUGCCUGCCGUUGAACUCUCCGGCCACCAUUGAUCCGACCUCCCCUAAGCCAUCGAUGAGUAGAGAAAAACAGUGAACGCCACCUCUGUACUCGCCCCACCUUAUGGCGUGUCGCUCCUGCAGUACCGGCCCACGCUCUGCGCGGCGCUCAGGUGUUACGGUUGCCCUCAAAUCCGUCGUCGGACCAUUGGCACUGGGGCAAGCAAAAGCACGGACAGGUGCUCGGCGUGCUGCAACGGCUUCCGAUUUGCCCGGCUAGAUGAAAGACGGCUGGGGAGCAUCUUCUCUGGGGAACACCGCGCGUCAUGGGUGCCUUGCCGAAGUUCAGGGACGGCGUGAUUGCUCAUCGUCGUUCAUGCUCCACCGUGGCGCCACCCAUCUCCGUGGGCAGUGGGCUGCAUCGUCCAAUCGACCGGUGAGUGGCCUGUAACGAGUUCGUUGUGCUCUCGGCUUCAUAUUUCCAUCAACCAACAUCAGAAAUCGCGUGUGUUGCACCAAGAUUGGUCC
This 45990-nucleotide long non-coding RNA is filed under the name Zea mays. Its description in RNAcentral is "long non-coding RNA (ZMAY_LNC005389)". The record is from RNAcentral. Lineage: Eukaryota; Viridiplantae; Streptophyta; Magnoliopsida; Poales; Poaceae.